Molecule: long non-coding RNA, 56403 nt
Filed under: Populus trichocarpa (black cottonwood)
Lineage: Eukaryota; Viridiplantae; Streptophyta; Magnoliopsida; Malpighiales; Salicaceae
Description: long non-coding RNA (PTRI_LNC001780)
Source: RNAcentral
AUCUGUCCUUGUAUCAUGAUGGUGAGCGAUGGGCACAACCUUAUGUAAUCUAUUUUCUCUUUGUUAGAUACUGUCACCUGGAAUUUUCUAUUAGGAACCACAAGUAGCUCAUAUUUAUUGACUAUGGAUUGAUCGAUAAAGUUGUGUGUGCUUCCACCGUCUAUCAAUACAAUGACCUCUUUGCUCCUCAAUCUUCUCAUCACCUGAAGGGUUUGAGGAUGAGCUGUACCUGCAAUUGUAUGGAAGGAAAUUUCAGGAAUAGCUUUUUGGUCCUCUGCCACUUGUAGUACCUCAGAUUGUUCCUCUAAAUCUUGAUCAUUUGUAUCACUAAUCAUGAAUAAUUGGGGUCGUUAGCAACGAUGACCCAGAAUGAACUUCUCAUCACAAUAGUAACAUAAGUCUUUUCUCGUCUCUCUCGUGCUUCCUGGUUGGAAAUCCGUCUGACAUUUGAUGUUGGGUUCAUGUUUUGCCGCAAAUUUGGUGGAGGUCCAAGUACCCCUACAGUAAUACUCGCGCUUGUUUUUAUUGUGGCUGUAGUUGGUUGGGUUCGGUAAGGGCGUGUCACCUUUUUUUGGAGUUGGUUUCGCUCUUCAAUCAACCUUGCAACACCGAUAGUUUCAGAUAACAUGGUUGGAUGUUUAAUCUUGACAUCUAGGCGGAUGUCAUCUCUUAGACCUGCAAUAAAACAGCCGAUGAGAAAGGUUUCUGGAAGGCCAUCAACUUGAUGAGAGAGUUUUUCAAAUUCUUCUUGAUAGGCUGCGAUGGUGAUAGAUUGUCGGAGUCUUGAAAGAGCUUCGUAGAGGUCUUCAAAAUCAGUUAGACUAAAACGUCGGAGAAUGCUUUGUUUAAUUCCUCCCAUGUUAAUGGUCCCUAGAAUUUAGUCAUCCAUCGAUGCAAUUGUAAGGCUAUUCCUUCUAGAUGGAAGGAGGCAAGCGGCACUUGUUGGACAGGUGAAACAUCGUUGUAUUCAAAGUACUGCUCGGAUUUGUAAAUCCACCCCAUUGGAUCUUCCCCGCUGAACUUUGGAAAUUUCAGUUUAAGUGAGGAUUAAUGGGUUCAUGAGUUGUGACCUGAUGAUUCAGCAGGAGCAAACGGGUUCAACUCUAGAGGAUUCAUUCUUGGACUCCUGGAGACAUGCAAGGCUUGUAACUCAGUCAGUACAGUUUGUAGAGUGACAUGCACCUGAUCGAAGUUAGAUUCGUGUCUAGCCAAAGCUUCAUUGACUUCGCCGCGGAACUCAACGUUAGAUUUUCCUCUGGUGUCCAUGGUGUAACCAGGCUCUGAUACCAAUUGAUGAGUAAUUUACUAUCAACAAUAAAAGAAUUAGGGAAGAAGAGAAGAAGAGGCAAAAGUAGAAAGGAUGUUAUUUAUUAUUUUAUGCAUAAUCCAGAACAACCUAUUGGCUAUAUUUUAUAGCCCCGUAAACUGGGAAAGGUAAACAACAUGCUUAAAGAUAGGAAAGCACUAACAAUAUGAAACUAACAAUAAGGAAAUAUCCUUCCACUACACUAGUUUCUAGCAAUCAUCAGCAACCAACAAAGACCCAUUCCUCAUUCACCCCCACGUACGUGUUCCACUACAUGCACAUACCCAUAUACCAUUCCCCCCCUCUCUCUCCUAUAUAUAUAUAUAUAACCUUACCUCAAUUGGGUUGAUAGUUCUUAUCAUCUUCCAAUAGUUGUCAAGGUUCAUAAUUUUUAGCAAUUAUUAGGAGUAGACAAUGAACACAAAAGUAACAUUUAGCUAAAAUUCUAGCUCAAACCAUAUUUGAGACUUGAGACUUUUUAGAUUUUCUUUGACCGAAAAUGCUUUCUCUUUAUACUCUACAUUACAACCUAUAUAUAUAUAAAAUUGAAUUGUGUUGGGUUCGAAUUAUUUUAGGUUUGAGUUUAUUUUGAGUCAUGAUUAUAUUCGGUUUAGAAUAACUACACACUUGACCUAACCUAAACCUAUUGAAUUCGAUUUUGCAAAAGAAAGAUUUUAAUUUUAAAUAUUAUUAAUUAACAUUUGCGCACUUUUGUAUCAUUAACAAGUACCUUAUAUAACUAUGAUAAUUAACACAACAUUAUAUUAGCAAUGUGUUAAAAGUAAAGUCAAAAUUUAAUGGAAUAACUUAUUUUCUAAUAUUUUUUUAAAAUCACUUCUUGGUUUGAAGAAAAUAACAACUUGAUUAUCACCUAAGCAAGGGGUAAACUAACCUUUUAAAGAUACCAACUUUUCUUGUACAGAGCAAACAUUUGUGUAUAUUUUGUCAUCUAUAUAUAAAAUUAUCUCGUAAUAAGAGUUAAAUGAGAGUUUGACACAUAACUUUUCUCAUUUUAUAUAAUCUGAAAUAAUAUUAUCAAGGCAUAAAGUAGCAAUACCAUCUUUUUUCUUUGUUAGAGUAAAACCACCUAUUUUUAGACAAAAUCACCUAAACAUGCUGAGCAAAAUGAACAGAAAAAACUAGAUAGAUCGCUCAUGCUUCACGGAGGAUUGGACAAUUGUUUUUACAACGCAAAAAAAAUUGCUUAAGUGUUUAAUAUUAUAUUUUAAAGAAAAAAAACCCAUGACUCGAUAUCAUAGAAAAAGAACUAAAAAUAAUAAUAAUCGUCAAUCCUUAGGAAUCAAAACGUAGAAUGAUGAAAUCACAAAAAAAUAUAUUAAAAAAUAUUAAAAAACAAAGCACCAGCAAAACCAAGUGAGGUUGUCAAAAACCUGCGAGAAUGAUCUUGCUGACAUGAUAACCAAAUACAAGGCAAAACAUAAAAAAAUAAGUUUAAUUUAAAAAAAAUGAAUUUUGAAGGACAAAAUAAAAAAGGAUAAAAAAAGCAACUUCAGAAGAAACCUAAGCCAUCCAGAUAAACAAAGAUCAUUUUUUAAAACAAACAACUUCAAAAGAUGUAAUCGAGAAAGGAAAUGAUAUUAACCCGUGUAAACUUUUUAAACCCAUGACCCAAGACACUAACUAAACUGGAAGCAUCACAUCUAGAAAAGCAACUAUUUUAAAACAUGGCUUGACCCAACAGUUCAACCCAUGACCUGGCCAAGCUUCAAAAGAAAUUGAGGGAGAAUUGAUCAAGUGUAAGACUAUCAAAAACCUCGAUUGACCUAUGAUUUGGUUAGUCGAGGAAAACAGGGUCAAAACCCGUUGAUUAUUUUCCUUUUUUUUUUCUUUUCAAAAUAGUAUCAUUUUGAAUUUUUUUUAUAAAACAAAAGGAUUUGGUUGGGUUAGGUUAACUCGAGUCAACCCACUCGACCCGUGACCUGAUCAUUGUUCAAGAUUGACUCCUGGGUAGGGCUUAUAAACAAUGAAAAAACCCUAGAAGACCAAAUCUCAAUAAUUAAAAUGUUGAAUGAUAAAAUUAAAAAAAAAACUGAAGGAUAAAGAAAUAGCAAUUAAAAGAAUAAGGACCUCAUUUGCAAAAUAAAAAUAAAAAUUGAGAGGACAAAUAAAAAUCUUAAAUUGAAGGCUAAAAUUGAAAAAAAUUCAAAGUAACAAAUGAAUCCAAUUUUUUUUUUAAAAAAUAAAGAAUACCAAUUUCCAAUGAACUCAAUAGUGAUAGAUGAAUUUUUUUAAAAAAUAAUGAAAAAUGACUAAAGCCAACUCGAUCCAACCUUUAUAAUUUUGUAAUAUGGAUCAUGAGACUGUAUCACAAUAUAAAAGUUAAACCUGAAAAAAUAACAAUGUAAAACUCAUAACCAACCAAAAUAAUUAGGGAUAAACUUGAAAAAACAAAUAAAAAAAAAGAAGAGAUUUAAAAAAUGUAGAUUUAAAAAGAACAAUUUUAAAAAUGUAGAAUUAGAAAGAAAGAGAACUAAAUUUGACACAAAAAUAAAAUAAAACCAAAUCAUAAGGGAUGAAAUUAAAAAAAAAAUCAAUCUAGAAAAAGAUAAGAACAACUAAAAACAACAAUAAAAAGAAUGGGGACCAUAUUUGAUAUAAAAAUAAAAUGUCAAUGGAUAAAAUUCAAAGACAAAUCAAUUAAAUAAAUGAUUCAAGACCAAAUACAUCACAAUUAAAAAAACAAUGACCAAAUCUAAUAUAGAAACCAAGUGUAAAGGAAUGAAAUUAAAAAAAAACUUGAUAAAUGAUUCAAGACCAUAUACACUACAAUUAAAAAAAUAAGGACCAAAUCUGAUACAAAAAUCAAUCGUGAAGGGAUGAAAUUAAAAAAAAAAAUAAUUCAACAAACAAUUGAAGGCCAAAUACAUUACAAUAAAAAGAAUGAGGAUCUAAUUUAACUUAAUAGACAAAUAGCCAGAUUUUCUUGUUUUUUUUUUUUUUUUGUAAUGGGUAGUAUGGUUUUCCAGGAGGAGAAAGGGGAAAGAGGAAGGGAGGGAAAAACCUUCGGCUAGAGCUCCUCCGCGGGCCGCCUCGGCAAACGUGCCCCACCAUUGUGCUUGGGAUGGUGAGACGCAUCGAACGCCACCCCGGAAAUCACCGUUUGGUUCUGUUUUGGCGUCGCACGUGCGACCCGAAAAGGCGAAGGUGGCAUCCAUUUGCUAGCAUGUGCUUAGCAAACGCCAACCAUUUUUUAAUAUAAACAAUAAUUUCUAUACAUACAAAUACCCAAUUACCCCUGACCCCAUCUGAUAUUUACAACAAAACCAUAUGGAAACGACAAAAACACCCCUACAUGCAACAUUUUUUUUUUCAAAACCCAAGGGUAAUUCUGUAUUUGCACUAUUUUAAUAAAAAAGAAAAGAUGGAGAAACCCCUCAACAUAUGUAUAUUUUUUCCCCUCUCAAAGGCAUAGUUGUAACUCCACUGAUUUGUUUUUUAAAAGACAAAAGAAAACCCCCAACCCGAAGGUUAAAAUUUUGUGCUGUGAAGGGCAAAUCAAAAUUUAUAUUGUAGCAAAAAAAAUCCGAAUGGAUCAUUUUAUCCCUAAUCAUUCUUUUAAUGCCAAAUGUAUCUCAUAAAAAAGACAAUUCUACCCUUAACUGCAUGCUUAACAAGUUUUUUGAUAAGAACAAUUUUAUCUUUACACUGUUUUAAUUUACAGUAAUCUAUGUCUUGAUGAAUAGUGAAAGACUGAGGGCUUUUAAUUUUUUUUUUUGUAAUAAUACUAGAGAAUAUAAACCUUAAUGAAAAGCAGAAGAAGAAACAAAAUUUUGAAUUUUUUAUUUAUAUUCAAAACCUAUGUUUUGCUUUAUUACAUUAAGGGCUUUCUAAACUUAGAGUUUAAUAAAAUGGUUGACCGAUAAGCUGCCCACAAAUUUGGGGUGACCUAACCAAAAUCUUUCAGAGUUCGGGUCGUAUUGGGUUUUGAGUUGAAGAUGCUUGAGCAUGACCUUAUUUUUACAUUUGUGAUUUGCCAGUUCUACAGAACCAAAAUGAUUACAUUAGAAAAAACCAGGGACCGAAUUAUAAUUGGCUCAACGAUAGCAGAAAAAUUGCCCAGACCCCGACAGAUCGUUUAGCUUUGGUUGGAGUUGCGUGUAUUAUUUAAAUCAGAGAAUAUCAUGGGACGAAGGAGAGGGAAUACUUUAAUUUAUAGUUUAUCUCUCUCUCUCUCUCUCUCUUUCGGGCUCGGGAUAAUUGUAAAAGCAAAACGAUCUUGGAAGAAGACCUAAUGGUGAAUUUAAAUUAGAAUAGAUUUAAAAACAAGAAAAAAGAAAAAGGAAAGCAUGGGAAACAAAAUCGCGCGGACGACGCAGGCAUCGGCAUCAGAGUACUACCUGCACGACUUGCCGUCAUCGUAUAAUUUGGUACUGAAGGAGGUGCUAGGCCGAGGCAGGUUCUUCAAGUCUAUACUGUGCAAGCACGAUGAGGGAUUAGUUCUGGUCAAGGUUUAUUUCAAGCGUGGUGAUAACAUUGAUCUCACCGACUACCACCGCCGUCUCAUCAACAUCAAGGAAACCUUCCGUGCUCUUGACCAUCAUCACGUCUGGCCCUUCCAGGUCUGCAAUUUUGACUACUAAAUCGAUACGAUGAUUUGGGUUUUGAUGCUGAUGUUGUUGAUGUUGCAGUUUUUUCAAGAAACAGAUAAGGCAGCCUAUCUUUUGAGGCAGUACUUCUUCAAUAAUCUUCAUGAUCGAUUGAGUACUCGUCCUUUCCUCAGUCUCGUUGAAAAGAAGUGGUUGGCAUUUCAGGUCUUCCUUUCUUUCCUUCACUUUCUUAACAAUAAAAUAAUUAAUUAAAAUACAGCUGUUCUGGACUCUUAUUUUUAUACAUAUUCCAUUGCAGUUGCUUCUUGCGGUGAAACAGUGUCAUGACAAGGGCAUUUGUCAUGGUGAGUGCAGUUAGCUUUUAGUUUCUAAUGAGGUUCGCAUCUUCUGAUACUCUUUGUCAAUGGCAGGUGAUAUCAAAUGCGAGAAUGUGCUGGUUACUUCCUGGAAUUGGCUUUAUCUUGCUGACUUCGCCUCAUUUAAACCAACUUACAUCCCUUAUGAUGAUCCUUCGGAUUUCUCUUUCUUCUUUGACACGGGAGGAAGAAGGCUCUGUUAUCUUGCACCCGAGGUUUUGUUUUGUCCCAACAGAUCUUUGAUCCUAAUGCUCACCAUCUGCAUUGGUCUCACUUUUGUUUUCCCCUCUAUUCUGUAUACUAACUGCUUGUUUAUUGAUCAUCAAGGCACUCAAUAAUCAUAUGGUUCUAAACUGUUUCCAGUUUUCCUUUAUUGUUCAGUGCUGUUAUCAUGCAAUAUAUUAUACUUACUCAUCCUCAAAUUUCAGAGAUUUUAUGAGCAUGGAGGCGAGGUGCAAGUUGCUCAAGAUGCACCCCUGUUGCCGUCCAUGGACAUAUUUGCUGUAGGGUGAGCUUGCUAAGUAUAUUAGUAUCUCUAUCUUCCAUGAUGCUUUCACUUCACAAUUCUUGCCAAGCUUCAUUUUCAUAUCCCCACCGUGUGCAAACUUUUUUCUGUAAUAGUUAAUGCACAAUGAAAUUGUUAGUUAUGCAGGGUAAUCUACGUGAUUUUGUGCUGCGGUUUCUUUUCAUUGUUUAGCAUAAUCCAAAUGCAAAAUCGCCCUCCCUCCUUUUCUUGACAGCACCAACUGUGUCGCUGGUAAUCCUCCCUUCAUAAGAAUGUUGGGAGGUUUUGAGGUUGGGGGAAGAGGGUUGCGACUGCCCUAUCGCUAACAGCCUCUGGACAUAAGAGAAAAAAAGAAAAGAAACAAGGUUUCUUUUCUCUUUUGUUUUGUUUUUGGGAUUGAUAUACAGGUCAAAUUUCUUGUGACCUGAUAUUUUUAACAAUGCAGAAUCAAGUAAAGUGACUUCUGGUUGGGGUAUCACUUUUGGGUUGCAUGGAUCUAAUAUAAAACUGAUCAAAUUUUGUAGUUGAAGUACUGGUUUUAUAUGUUCUACUUUGUGUUGCAACAAUUAUCUGAUUCAUCAUGUUUCUGUUUAGGUGCGUAAUUGCGGAACUUUUUCUUGAGGGUCAGCAACUGUUUGAACUCUCCCAGCUUCUUGCUUAUCGUAGAGGACAAUACGAUCCUAGCCAAUAUCUUGAAAAGGUCCUUCUCUCUCUGUUUCUCUUCAUCUCCCCCUCGCUUUGUCUAGUUCAUUACAGUAGUAUCAAUAUAUUUGUGCGUAAAUCAGUUUUUACCCACCAAGAGAAGAAUAAGAGAGGCGGGGUUAUCAUUUGUGAAGCAUGUUUAUUUGGGUUUUUUACGCUAUUUUGAAUACUUAGUCUUCCCAUGACAUUUCACUCUUUGUCUCUCUUAUCCUUAAAACUUCAUUGUUAACCUCCCAUUUCAUUCUGCUUUUCUUAAGCCAAAGGCUGUAGUGUUUUAGAACUUUAUUAAAUCACUAUGGUGAAACUUGGAUAAAUCUCGAUCAUCCUUAACUAUCGCUCUUAUGGUGGAUAAAUCUAUGCUAUGGAUGUGCAGAUCCCAGAUUCUGGAAUCCGCAAGAUGAUACUUCAUAUGAUCCAGUUGGAGCCUGAGGCACGUCUUUCUGCUGAAAGCUACCUACAAGAUUAUGCAGCUGUUGUGUUUCCAAGCUACUUCUCACCCUUUCUGCAUAAUUUUUACUGCUGCUGGAAUCCACUUCAUUCUGACAUGAGGGUAGGAUAUUUUGAUAUAGCACAUAAAACUUGUCCUUGUUGCAACUCAUAUAUAUACACAUUGAGGCUCUUUUAUCUGUACUGUAGGUUGCAAUAUGCCAGAGUGUUUUCCAUGAGAUACUUAAGCAAAUGAUGGGAAGCAGGACAAGUGAGGUGGCUGGCACCAGACGAGACGUGUUUGCAAAUAGUUUGAAUGGAAAACUAUCAGAAGAGAUGGUUGAAAAACAAAACUUGGACUCAACAAGUCAUUGGAGAAACAGAGAGAGAAUAGAAAAUGGUUUAACUUGUCAACAGUACAAUCUUCUUGGAGAUAUCAAUAGCCUGCUCGGGGACGUAAAACAAAGCAGUGGGUAUUAUAGUGCGAAAUUGAUGCCUGAGAGUGCUCCUGGUUCUGAAUUUUGCCAGGAUCUAAAGCAAUGCAGCACCAAAUCUCCUGAUGAGCUUCUUCAAACUAUCUCAAAUGCAUUUAGGAGAAAUGAUCAUCCAUUUCUGAAAAAAAUUACAGUGGAUGAUUUGAGUUCAUUGAUGUCCGAGUAUGACAGUCAAUCAGAUACCUUUGGUAUGCCUUUUUUACCGUUACCUGAAGAUAGCAUGAAAUGUGAAGGUAUGGUUCUGAUUGCCUCUCUGCUAUGCUCUUGCAUACGUAAUGUCAAGUUGCCACAUUUGAGGAGAGGAGCUAUACUUUUAUUGAAGUCUUGUUCAUUAUAUAUUGAUGAUGAAGAUCGCUUACAGCGUGUGCUGCCAUAUGUUAUUGCAAUGCUUUCGGAUCCAGCAGCAAUAGUGCGUUCUGCUGCCUUGGAAACCUUGUGUGACAUUCUGCCUUUAGUUCGUGAUUUUCCUCCUAGUGAUGCAAAGAUUUUCCCUGAGUAUAUUCUUCCAAUGCUUUCCAUGCUUCCUGAUGAUCCAGAGGAAAGUGUGAGAAUAUGUUACGCCAGCAAUAUAGCGAAGCUGGCUUUAACUGCUUAUGGGUUCUUGAUUCAUUCAAUAGGCUUGAGCAAGGCAGGUGUUCUUGAUGAAAUGAGCUCACCACAGAAUUCGAUGGCAUCAUUUAUUGAAAGACCUGGGCAGCUGCAGAGAGUAAAUAAUGAUGCGCAGUUGUCACAGCUGAGGAAAUCAAUUGCUGAGGUUGUUCAGGAACUUGUCAUGGGUCCAAAACAAACUCCAAAUAUCAGGAGAGCACUCCUUCAGGACAUUGGCAAUCUGUGCUGCUUCUUUGGCCACAGACAAAGCAAUGACUUUCUGUUACCAAUCCUUCCUGCAUUUCUCAAUGAUCGAGAUGAGCAACUAAGGGCAUUAUUCUAUAGCAAGAUUGUAUAUGUCUGCUUCUUUGUGGGCCAAAGAAGUGUGGAAGAAUAUCUUUUACCUUACAUUGAUCAGGCUUUAAGUGAUCAAACUGAGGUUGUCAUUGUAAAUGCAUUGGACUGCUUGGCAAUUUUGUGUAAACGCGGCUUCCUACGGAAGCGGGUAUUGCUUGAAAUGAUAGAGCGUGCCUUUCCAUUGUUAUGCUAUCCUAGUCAAUGGGUUAGAAGGUCAGCUGUCUCUUUCAUUGCUGCCAGCAGUGAAAGUUUAGGAGCAGUAGAUUCAUAUGUUUUCCUAGCACCAGUUAUACGCCCGUUCCUUUGCAGACAUCCAGCUUCUCUAGCUUCAGAGAAGUCUCUACUUUUAUGUUUGGUUCCUCCGGUUUCAAGACAGGUGUUUUACCACGACUUAGAAAAUGCCCGGAGUUCAGACAUGUUAGAGAGACAGAGAAAAAUAUGGUACAAUUCAUCAGCCCAGUCAAAACAAUGGGAACCUGAGGAUUUGCUCAAGGGAGAUGAUAAGGAACCGAAUUCAAUGAAGAGUUGGCCUGAAAAGGAACCAAGUCCCGGGGAUCAAAAUCAUGAUGCUGAUAGAUUGGAACAGCCAGAGGAUGGUGAUGCAAAGUUAAUAGCUAUGGGCUUUAUAGCCAAUGCUUCCAGCAAAGUUGACAUUCGUGAUGCCCUGAGCUCAGAGAAGUUGCAAUUCUCAGGUUGUAUGUCCCCUCAGUUUAGUGGUGUGAAUAGCUUUUUACAUGAUAAAUCCUCAGAAGGCAUACCCUUAUACUCCUUUAGCAUGGACAGGCGAGCAGUAAAAUUUCCUCCAGCAACGUCUGAUUCUUCGUUGCAAAUGAAUUCCCUUGCAAUCAGUUCAUCAUACAUGCCCUGGGUGGAUCACGGAAUUAAAUCAUUUAGCCUGGCUAGUUCUGUUCCUGCACCUAAGCUGGUUUCAGGUUCAUUUAGCAUUACUAAUGGUUCUAAACCAUUUUAUAGAGUGGUACAUGAACCAGAAAGCAGAGAAAAUGAGCAAACAUCAUUCUUUAAUGGUAAAUAUCAAGAUGUGGGAUUAUAUGGAACUUCAAAAGGAAGUUCUUUUACGGUGGAAGAUGCCCCUCCAACUGAUCUAACUGGAUUGCCGUUAUUUGCACGGACUGCUUCAAUUCCUGAUUCAGGUUGGAAACCUCGUGGGGUGUUGGUUGCGCACUUGCAGGAGCACCGGUCUGCCAUCAAUGACAUUGCAGUUUCAAGUGAUCAUAGCGUUUUUGUGAGUGCAUCUGAUGAUUCAACUAUCAAGGUGUGGGAUUCAAGAAAAUUGGAGAAGGACAUCUCAUUUAGAUCAAGGCUAACUUAUCACCUGGAGGGGAGUCGAGCGCUAUGCACUGUUAUGCUUCACAACAUAGCUCAAGUUGUUGUUGGAGCAUGUGAUGGCACAAUUCAUAUGUUUUCUGUUGAACACAUGUCCAGAGGCCUUGGUAAUGUUGUUGAGAAGUAUUCAGGGAUUGCUGAUAUAAAAAAGAAGGAUAUCAAGGAAGGUGCCAUUCUUAGUCUUUUGAACUACACCAGUGAUAACAGUGAUGGCCAGAGUGUUAUGUACAGCACCCAAAAUUGUGGGAUCCAUCUCUGGGAUAUCAGGGCCAAUUCAAACGCCUGGACAUUAAAAGCAGUUCCUGAGGAAGGCUACAUAUCAUCUCUGGUUACAGGUCCUUGUGGAAACUGGUUCGUCUCAGGCUCUUCCAGGGGUGUGCUAACACUUUGGGAUCUGAGGUUCCUUAUCCCUGUAAACUCAUGGAAGUAUUCUCAUGUAUGCCCUGUAGAGAAGAUGUGCCUCUUUGUUCCUCCUCCAAAUGUCACUGUAACCAGCACUGCAAGACCACUCAUAUAUGUUGCUGCAGGGUCUAAUGAAGUUUCUCUUUGGAAUGCUGAGACUGGGAGCUGCCACCAGGUAUGUGCCAAUUGUCUUUAUUUGUUGCCUUUGAUAAUCAGAUUGGGUGGCAUAGAAUAGGAUAAUGCACAAUAGCCUUGGCUAUUGUCUAGGUGUUACAUUAUGAGCAUUAGUUACACAGACUACAUGAGCAAAAAAGGGCUUUACGAAAAGCAACAUUUCAUAUAUGAACAUCUUGUGUUUUGAUAGAUGAAAAAUUUGGUACGAAGGACUGUAUGUUAGUAGAAAACUGAGUUCUGAAGGGUUUGCAUAUCACUGAUAUCGUGUAUAAGCUAAUUUGUUAAGGAUUUGCUCUGGUCUCACACUUAAAUAUUUAAAUGUCCAUUAUUUCUGCUCUAAUUUGAACAUUGGAAUGGAAUUAUUGCUGUGUAAUCUAAAAUUUGACAAUGCAUGACGUCUCUUGCUGCGACACUUGCUACAAAUUGAAGUUUUUGUGCAGUGGGUGACUUAUGGAUAAUUGAAAAGGCAAUCUAAUACCAUUGCACACUCUCGCACACACACAAUAUGUUAGGCCUAUUUUUUGAUUUAUAUUGGUAAUUAUUGUAAGAACUUAAAUUACAUGGGGUAUGGCCUGUUGCAGAUACACAGCUACAUUAAAUAAUCUUUUUAGUAAUAACCACCCAAAGGUUGUACUUAAGAUUUUAUAUUAUGAAAGAGAUGCAAUUGAUUAUGAAUUUCGAGGAUGAAUAUUGUGUUAUAUCUCCAAAUGCUAUGUGCUACAUUUUGCUCGAAAUAAUAUUCUCCUAGUGUUAGAUGAUAUAAGAAUGUCUUGUACUACUUAUAGCUGCAUAAAAAUUCUUUUUCGAUCAAGUUUCUUUUAAUUUUUACUGUUACUCUAUCCUUCUCUACAUUGUUAAUUUUACAUGGCAUUGUUAAACUUCUCUUCCAGGUCAUGAGGGUUGCAAAUUAUGACAAUGAAGAAAUGUCUGAUAUACCAUGGGCCUUGGCCAGGCCAUCCAGUAAGACAAAUCUUAAACUAGAUGUGAGGCGGAAUGUCAAACCAAAGUACAGAGUUGAGGAGCUUAAUGAACCACCUCCUCGUUUUCCUGGUAUUCGUGCGAUGCUUCCCUUGCCAGGUGGUGAUUUGUUGACUGGGGGAACUGAUUUGAAGAUACGUAGAUGGGACCAUUUCAGGUUGUAGUCUGUAUUUUUUCUUUGUAGUCUGUCUUCUCCUUUUAAAAUCACUUCACAUCUCAUGGCAACUAUGGAUUUAACUGUCUGAUUUUUUGUUAUUGUAGCCCUGACCGAAGCUAUUGUAUUUCUGGGCCAAAUUUGAAUGGAGCUGGGAAUGAUAAUCCGUAUGAAACAAGGUCGAGUUUUGGAGUGCAAAUUGUACAGGUAUGCAUCUUACCUGAUUCCUUGAGUUCAUAAAUGUUAAUUUUUAUUUUUACUUGAAAGGUAUAUUCUAUGGACUUAAAGGGUAUUUUCCUCAAUUCAUAAUAAUUCUAUCAUGUGUUGCGUGUGCGGCCUUUAAUUUUAAUAGAAAUAAUUGCCAGAGAGAUAUAUUAGAGAUUAGGAACCAGCUAAAUUUUUAUAGAAAAGUAUGAUUGAUAAAUGGUGUGCUAUAUUAGAGUAUCUUGAUAGGUUUCCCUGUUUUUAAUCCUUCUCUGAUAUUCAGCUGCAUUGCUUUCUUUUCUCCUCUUCUGUUGAUUUAGUAUGAUCUUACCUUUGGACUUGCUGAAAUUGGUGGUUAUAAAAUAUUUCUUUCAGAAAUAGUUGAAGAAUGUUGUCUAUAAUUAAUAGCUGGGAAAAUCAUACCAGAGCUCUGUUGCUAUGUGCUGACAAGAAGUCCAUUAUUUUGGUAGAUACAAUUGUGCUGAAUUGGAAACUCUUGUUGCUUGCUUUAUUUGUUAUCUUUUGUUGCUCAAUGCUAAUCAAAUUUUUAUGUGGUCUUCUGUACCUUUCUAGUUUCAUAGUUUUCAUAUUCUUUUGACCUUGUAUAUAACUUGCAUUGAUGGCUUCCUGAUUAGGUAAAAGCUAUAACAGAACUAUGAUUACUGCAGUCUGUAUUGCAUGCACAUACAAGCUGAGAACACCAUGAAACUCACAUGAAAGAUUGCGAAAUCACUGAUCAUACUAAAUAAAAAUUCAGACUUCCUUUCAUGUUUUACUCUUUUCUUCUCUUUUCCCCUCCAAUUUGUUGCAUUUUGAAAGUGUUUUUGUCCAAUCCUGAACAUAGCAUGCAGUACCAUUCUAUAUGAAGUAGCAAUUCAUAAUGUCAUAUCUCUUUAAUGCAUAACUCCUUGACUUAGUAUUUUGGAUUGAUACCUCUUAUUGUGUUUUAUCAUUUCUUCUUGAUCCAUAGAUUAUAGUGCGCAUUAUUUUUAUCUAGAUAUGCUAAUCUCAAAUUCAUUCUCUCAAUCUCGUACAACUUCAAUAGAGGUGGUUAAAAACACUAUUCUUCUCCAUCCAUGGAUUCUAGUGGACACUAUUACUAUCAAGAUAUGAUAAUCCCAAAAUCAUUUUCUCAAUCACAAACAACAUUAAUAGAGGUGGUUAUAAACACCAUUCGAUAUGGGAUGGGUGGAGGGUCCAAAAACUUGAACGAUAAGACCAUCUUGUAUGCCAAGAUCCAGCGAGUUUUCAUAAUCAGUACAAUGAACAUAACAAAACCAACCUGCAUAAAAAAUGAUUGAUUAUUGAAAAUAAGUACAAGAUUCUUUGACGUCCCAAUUGGAAUACUAAUUGCUCCAAAGAGAUUAUAUUAGCUACAAGAGUGAAGAGUGAAAAGAUAAAUGCCAUUUAAUUUCUUCAAUUCACUUGUUUUGAUCAUAUUAUCUAAAAGACUUUGGUUUUACUGUAAAUUCAUGAAACAACCAGAUAACAUUUCUUAAUGAGUAUUAAAGAUUCUAAGUAUCCUAAAUGGCUUUUUAUUUUUUUCGCAAGUCAUGGUAUAUUUUACUAUGAAAAUCAAAGAUUGCAAAAUGAGCUAUGAUGGAAAUGGCAUCCAUAAAGAGGAAAUAAGACUUUUCUGUAUCGAUUUGAUUUCAUCUUUGAGAUGAGAUAGAUUGUCUAAGUUUUUCUGGUGAAGAGAAUGUAUGCAAUUUGUCAUAGUUUUUUAUGAUAAAUUCUCUUGGGUAUAAAAUGGAUAGAGCAAGAGAGAGUUGAGCAAAAUUAAAAAUAAAAGCUUCAAAGAGAUGAAUCUUGGUUUGAGAGAAAGAUAACAUGGUGAUGAGAGAGACAGACUUAGGAUGCCCUAACAUUUAUUGUCAACAUAAUUCAUUAAGACUUGCUGAAGACAACAUAGUUUUAAGAGAGCCCAAACAGCUAUUCAUUUUAGGAUUUGCUUUAAACAACGAGACUUAGGAUGCCCUGACUAUUAUCACCCAACCUAAUUCAUUUUUGGACUUGCUUAAAACAACAUAGUUUCGAAGGUUUAAUGGGCCUUCUUGUCAAUAACACAUCCUAUUUGUUGAUUAAAUAACCCAGAAGAGAUAAUGUGCAUAUAUUGGCUGACACGUGUUUAAUGAGUCUGAGUUGACACAUCAUUUUUUUUUGUGAUUCUAAAUAGGUGUAAUUUUGGCCCCUGCCAACAUGUUUGGUGAAUUUUGAGAUGUAAUGAAUGAAUUGUUAAGUUUUCCUGCGAUUUUAAGUUUUAACAGCAUGGUCAUCUACCAAUCGAAUUUCUAUUUUAAUUUACCAGUAAAGGCUGCCCCUUUUGUUCUUAAAACACCAUAUAGGAUUUUAUUUGAAAAUUAUGGACGCAGCAAUUUUGGAAGCACUUAAAACAAUGAUCAAACAAAUUGUACCAUGAAUUAAUAAGAAUAGCUAAACAUUUUUCUUCUGACCAGUGCUUUAUGUUUUGCAAUUUAAUAAGCAAGUUUCAGAUAUUUUGUUCCCAUGCUGGCUUUUAUUGCAUUUUCAAUGAAUGUAGUAAUGCAUUCCAUUCCCUUCCUCCACUUGUUUAUCCUUUGCAAUUUAAUAUGCCAGUUCUGAUGAUUUUGGAUUUUGUUUCAGUGAUAUGUGUGUGUGUGUGUGAGAGAGAGAGGGAGAGAGCCUAGCUAUGUAUCAUUGUUAUGUGCGCCAAAGUCUCUGUUUAUAUAAAUAUGGAGUGCUGGAUUUUUCAUCAAUAGCAACUUAUUUAACUUGAAGAAAAAAGAAUGUAAUUUUGUAUUUCAUUAUGAACCAGAAAAUUAGGGUGUCACCCAGUUAAUUUGAUUGGAUCACAGACGAUAUUUCAAAUAAUGUUUCCUUCUGGAUAUCAUCUUGGUUAACAUGACAGCAAUUUGAGCCAAAUGAAGUUUUUUCUGUUCACUUUCUUUUGAUCUUUUCAUUAUGCAAUCACAUAAUUUUCAAAUUUUCAAUGUACAGAGUAUUGGGUUCUUAAUGCUAAAAUUGCUUGACUUUCCCUGCAAACAGGAGACAAAAAGGCGACAUUUAACAGCCAAGUUGACAGCGAAGCAAGUUCUUGCAGCUGCAGCUACUGAUUCUGCUGGUUGCCACCGAGAUUCCAUCCUCUCAUUGGCUUCUGUCAAGUUGAACCAGAGACUUCUGAUUUCAAGUAGCAGAGAUGGGGCUAUCAAGGUUUGGAAGUAAAUAAAGUAUGCAUACAAGUUCAUUUUCGUACAUAUAAUGCUAGUUCAAAUUGUACAUAGAAUAUUAAGAUAGGAAAAAGACGUUAAAUUAUAAUCUGGUGUUGAAUUUAAUGUCCAACCAUGGGCAUAUAUUCUCUCUUCUCGCUUGCUCUUUCAUUUUUCAAAUUGUGCUCUUCUAAGCUUGUAGGAAUUCUAGAUGAUAUGUAUUGUUAACCUGCUCACUACUCUCGGGUAGGUUAACUCUGUACCCAUAUGUAAUGGGACAUAAAAUACCCCUAUCUAUCAUCAUCCACUUCAAAUCAAAUUCAAUAAACUAGUCUAUCAAAUGAAAAUCUUACUCCUCAAAGACCUCUUCCUCUCUCAUCUAACUCUCUGAACGAGAUCUUCAUCUCCUUAUUUUCUCUUCAUUUCUUUUCUAUCUCUUGGUUUUAUAUAAUGCUAUUGAAAAUUAAGAAUUUAUGGAACUCAUUUUUUAUUUACACCAUUCUCUUUCUUUCUUUCUUUCUGUCUCUCUAUUUAGUAUUCAUAAAUUUCUCUCUAUCAAAAUUCAAUCUAAAGAUUUUCCUUAUCCAAAUUUCCCUGCAUAUUCUUCCUUUUGCUUAUUUAAAUCUUCUAACAUACAGUCUAUAUCUCUAACCUUUUCACAUCUCUGUAACUUGGGCCGAGAAUCAAAGUAUAUCAUAAAUCCCAAUUACAUGGGUAGUGAUAAUAGUUUUUGUUUCCAUGGACAACAUGCAUAGAAAUAUCAAUGCAAGACAUAAAAUCAAGGACUUUCUAUCUUAAUUCCAUGAGCAAUGAAAAUGGUGGGAUGGGGGCAAGCAACUUAUGGUUGCAUCAGUUUUCUUGUUCUUAUAUUGCGAAGACAUACACUAAAAAGUUGCAAAGUAGGCGAGAAUUUAGUUCAAACUUGAAAGCCCAAUGGUGUUUGUGGAGAAAGUUGGUUGCAUCUUAUGAUUGAGGAAGAAAAAUGAAAGAACUCUUGUAAUUACUGAUUUGCUUCUUUUAAAGGACACAGUGGAAACUAAUAGACAAAUGUAUUUCUAUGUCCAUUAAAAAUGGGCAGAAUGUUAACCUGACGUACUGGGCAUGCUAUGUACUGUGUUUUUGCAAAAUGUCCUGUUCACUGUAAACCUAUGUAUGCCCCACGGUGUCUAUUGGAUAUUCCAACCAUCAAAAUAAUCUUCUGCCCUCCCUGUCUCCAUGUUGCUCUGAAGGUGUGCUGAUAAUGACUUUACUAUAUAAUUGAAAAGGCAUGCUUCAAUCUCGUCAUUCACUGGCAGCGUCACCCUUACUAUAGAAUUAAAAUUAUGCAUUCUGUACUAGCAUUUGAUUUUACUAGAAAUAUUUGAGAAGGUAAUUUGGUUCCUUUCCAUGUAUCCAUUUGUGGGGAUACCUGGCAUCUUAUAAACUACGAUUUUUUGAAUAUCGCAUAAUAUUUCUUAUAUAAUGUGUUUUAGUAUGUAAAUCUUAAAGUUGGCAUUACGUGUUGUAUUACCUCUUAUGUGCUGAAGAGUUUUCCAUACUUGGAAGAGUGCUUGGAUGGAGAAUUAAACUUGAAUGAAUCUUGACGAUUGUGCAAUGAGGUUGGUAUUUGCUUUGAGUUUCUUAUGUGAGUGGUUCUGUGAUGCAAACUUGAUAAAUCUGAAUUCUCAGCAGAGUCUUGCACCACCAUUUUUUAAAAUAUUGCAUCUUGAUGUUUCUUAGUAGUGGUGAUUUAAGUCCCAUUUGACAUUGAUGUUCAACCUGCUUUUCUUCAAAAUUUGAUGUUUUUCCGCUUCAAAUUAAUUUUAUUUUAGUGUUUUUGAAUCAUUUUGGUGUAGCGAUGUCAAAAAUAAUUUUUUAAAAGAUUAUUUUAAUGUAUUUUCAAGCGAAAAAAUACUUUGAAAAACAAUAUUUACCGCAGUCUCAAAUACCCUUUUUGAAUUUCAUUUUAUAAGUUGGCAGCGCAUGUUGAAUGACCACAAUUUUAGAGUGUUAUUCAUACAUCGGAAUGCUGAAAGGCGAAGGUAUGGGUGUCUAGAUAAAUCUCGUCAAUUUCAUUGCACUGCUGUUGGUGUUAUGUUUCUGAGUUGCUUGCACACGGUUCUAUGAUGCAAAGUUAACAAGGCUUGAUGCGAACCCGGCAGGCACGAAGAAUAUGAAUACUCAUCCAGUAAAAAGGUAAAAUCAAAUUAAAAAACCACGACACUAUGAUUUCAUGAACUAAUAACUGAAGGUGCAUGAUAAGUUCAAUAAAUAACCCAAAGAAGAAGUGUAUUAACGCUGUUUUAUUCUUAAUGACAGCAUAAUAGUCUGUCUUUUCAAUAUUAUUUUGUAUAAUAAAACUUAUAAAAUAAUAAACCCUAAUUAACUAACCAGUCUAAAUUAAAUCCAUAUAAUUAACUUAAAUUUAAAACUGAAUACGAAAAAGAAUAAUCAUAAUUAGUUAUUGGAAUUAUAUUAAACUUGCAUAUCUAAUUUAAAUCCAAGAUUGCAUGAGAAUUAAAAUAACCAUAAUUAGAUAUUGGAUUUAUAAUAAACAAAUUCAAAAUUGAAUAAGAAUAGACUUGUAGUCUUUAAAUGAGGCGCAAUCCAAAUAUUAUAAAGCAGCCCAAUACCUCGGUGAUUCUCUUGGUUUUUUUUUGUCUUGUAAUAGAUCCAAUCAGCACAUGAAGGGUUGUCCGAAAAACCUAGUUGUUGGAUGAGUGGCAAUUCCACUGAUUUUUGUUAAAACUCUUUUGAGUCAUUCUUCUAUCAAGCUGCCUAUAAAACUAGAGUGGUCAAAACGAGGGUGAGGUUGCAAAUGAGUGUGUGCAUGAGGGUUACAUAGGCAGAGCAAUAUUUCAGAAUAUGAUGAGAUGGUUUGGGCAUUGGAACUUGCCAUGUAAAGCAUUUUUUUGGUUGAUAGAAGCUUUGCUCAGGGUGGAUGAAGGUACUACUCUACUGGGUUAACAAAAAAACACGAAGGUCAAAUAGAAUGAUGGCGACAGAAGACUUCAUGAUAUCUCUGUUUUUAUUUAGAAAUUAACACCAUUUAGAGACAGCUCGUUGAAUCCACUGCAUGAAGCUUAUUUAUUACAACUUCUUCCAAGCCAAGGUGAUUUUGAUUUAGACAGAGCAUGUUUCAAGUCAAUUCACCAGUGAGGACUUGCGAGACAUGUCUGACAGCUCUUGACACCCUCCAAACUUGGUGCUGUACCGAGCGCCAUGCCUCUGGCGUGCUGAGACUCCUCGCCUCUUCAAUCGCGUCGUCUAUUCCAGGAAAGUAGCUCGAUCCAUAAUCAUCAUGCUUUGACGGUGCAUAUAUCUGCACAAAUACAGAGAAUCACUUCCAUCUAUCUGCUCUUGGCAGUCGUAAUAUAUAUAUAUAUAUAUAUAUAUAUAUAUAUAUAUAUAUAUAUAUAUAUAUUAUCACUCAGGAUUAAGAAGAGACAUACCAAAUGCUUGUACCAUGACCUCCCAGAAAGCCCUUCUGCGUCUGUAAAUGCUCGUUCCGCCAUCAUCAGCCUGUCGUUGAUCUCUCUCACCUUCACUUGAUCUUUCUUGAACUUCCAUGCCCACACUCUGUUUUCUUCAAUUGCCUGAAUAUUCAUAAUUCUUUGGUAUUGAUGUUGAUAUGUCAAUCCUUACUUGAUAGAAAAUCUUGCCAUACCUUUCUCUCCUGGUUUAUUUUUGUGGCUGCAUCUCUUAGUCUCUUAAUGGACUCGAACAGGGGAGCAAGCCUUAUGCCCUUAUCCGAUAUCUCAUCUUCCAAGUCCUUUGCGUUUUUCUAUAAUGCAUGGAUUCGAUCGUUAAUACUGCCAUCAAUGUUUGGCUCUGAAUUAUAAAUUAGUCUUUCUAAUUUUAUAAAAUAAAUUAAAUAGUUCUCUUAGUUUUAAAAAUCAAUUAAUUAAAUCAUGUUUAAUAAAACGUUGUUUUAUUUUAAAAAAGAAUACUUCUUUCUCAUCAAAAGGAAGAAAUCAUUAUUUACUCUUCUGUGCAUUGAUUAUGAUGUACAGACUACAGAUCAACAUUACCUGGAGCUCGUAUGCAUAGGAUAGAUAGUCGAAAGGCAGAAAUUCUUCAUCUGCUAACUGAAGAGCUGUCAAACCCCAGACGCUCGCCACUGUAUUACAAAUAUCAAACCACGUGAUGAACUAGUAGAAAGUAAUUAGUUCGUAAGAACUACUGGUAUAAUAAUUCAUGUGUUCUAUAAUAUUUUCUGUACAACAACAAGAAUCUCUCUAUCUCCAUAUCUUCUAACUCUCAAUCUUAUUUUCUCAAUUACAAUCAUCUUUGUAAGGCAGGCUUUAGCAUGUUGGUAUUAGAAUAUACUUAUCCAGGCUAUUGCAAAAGGGAAGACAGAGAUAACAAAGCUUUGGAAGAGCAUGGUAGACAAUUGGAUGUGAGGAUACAUGUUCUUCAUCAAGAAUUGCAAGAUUCGGGCAGGCUAAAUGGAAUGAACAACUUAAUGCACAAAUGGAAGAACCAAGCUAUUACAAGAGGUGUGAUUUGUCUACAACAAAAUCAUAACCAAGAUGAACCUGUGGGAAUCAAUGAAGGACAAAGAGGUAUAUACAAUGUACCAUUACCUAAAGUAGAACUACCUACAUUUCAUAGGGAAUCCAAGGGGGUGGGUUAGGAAAUGUAGAAAAUUCUUCAAGUUACAUUUUACAAAUAGCUUCACUUUACUCAGAAGACAAAACAUAAAUUUGGUUAGAAGGUUUCUUGAUUAGAGAUCAUGACCAGACUAAGUGGGAAGAGUUUGUUUGAUCUAUUUGUACAAGUUUUGGCAAUAGAGAGGAUGUAGUGGAUGUAGUGGAAGAAUUCAACAAGUUGGUGAAGGAUAAAGGAGUAAAGAAGCAUGUUUAAAAGGUUUGAGGAGCUCACAUCUUAAUGAGCACUUCAAAUUCCUCAUUACUAGAAUCAUACUAUAUAUCGAGCUUUAACAAUGGCCUAAAGACCAACAUUAAAAAUACUAAAGCCUUUAACAUUGAUACAAGCAUUUCAUCAAGUAAGGUGGCAAGAGAAAUCUAACCAUGUUGUGGUAUGGAAGAAUAGAAUGAUGCCUAGAAUAUCACCUUCUUUCAAUAAUAAAAGACCACCAGUAAUUCAUCAUUGAAAACUCCCUACAUUAUAAGAACUCAUAUGACACUAAAAGGAAAACGAAUACAUGAAACCUUAUAUAAACAAAUGAGAAAAUUAGGACAAUGUUAUAAACAUGGUGAAAAAUUUGUACCAGGUUAUCAAUGUAACAAGAACAACUUGAAUUUGAUGAAUGGUGUAAAAGAAGGUAAAGAUUUUUUAGAAGUAAAGGAGGGAGAUAAUAAAGAAAUUAUGGCCGAAGAGGAUCCAAUGAAUGAGUAUGUCUUAUCUCUUAAUGCAUUGACUAAAAGUUAUAAUCAUAAUACAAUAAAAGUUAAAGGAAAUUAUCAAAAUAAAAACCUUAUAAUUUUUAUUUAUAAUGGUAGCACCCAUAGUUUUAUAGAUGAACAUGUGGUUAAUGAGAUCAUAGUUACCAUUGAGAAAACUAUUAUGUUAGCAGUGAUUGUGGCUUAUAGCACUAUUAUGAAUUGUAAUGUAUAUUGUCCAAGAUUUAUAUGGUAUAAAAAGGCAUGAAUUUCAAGCAGAUUUGAGAGUUUUUAAGUUAGGGAGAUGUGAUAUGGUACUGAGAAUGGAUUAGUUGAGAUCUUAUUUUCCCAUUCCCUUUGAUUUUAUCAAGAUGAAGUUGUAUUUUAGAAAACAAGGAUGGAUGAUUGAGUUUAAAAGGAUUAUUAAGGAGGCCACUCUGUAAUUAAUCACAACAUCUAAUGUUAAAAAAAGCUCAAAGAGGUAAUAUAUGGUUUUGUAGGAUAAUUUUCCUCAAUUGAAGCUAAAGAAGAACUUAAGCAGAAAGAGAGGAUUCCUAAAAUCAAGGCUUUAUUAAAAAGAAUUUUAAUUAAUAUUUGAUGAACCAAAUAAAUUGCCUCUAGUAAGGACUUUGUAUAAUAAGAUUCCUUUGAUUCCAAAUGUUAAACCAGUUAACAUCAGACCUUAAAAAAGUUCUUUUAUGCAUAAAUAAGAAAUUGAAAAAUUGAUGAAGGAGAUGCUUCUUAAUGGAAUAUUUCACCACGAUAGCAGCCCAUUUAUUUCUCCAAUAUUGUUAAGAGAAAAAAUAAGACAACAACUAGAGGUUUUGUGUUGACUACAGACAAUUGAAUGAGCUGACUAUAAAGAACAAAUCUUCAAUUCCAUUAAUAGAUGACCUGAUGGAUGAGUUGUAUAGAUCACAAUAUCUUUCAAAAUUGGAUUUGAGGUCUCGUUAUCAUUAGGUGAGGAUACACACUAAAGACAUUUGAAAGAUGACCUUUAUAAUCCAUCAUGAGCAUUAUGAGUUCAAGGUGAUGCCAUUAGGAUUAACAAAUGCACCUGCAACAUUCCAAGCACUAAUGAAUAAUAUGUUUGAACCUUUUCUAAAAACAUUUGUGUUGGGUUUCUUUGAUAAUAUUCUGGUGUAUAACCCUACUUUAUGUGAGCCACCUCAGAACAAUUCUGAAAACACUAAAGAGUCAUUAGUUGUUUACCAAACAAUUUAAAUGCACAUUUUGUGAAUCUCAAGUUGAAUAUCUUAGGGAUAUUUUAUCAGCUGAAGGGGUUGUUAUAGAUCUUAUGAAGAUAAAAGCAGUGAGAAACUUUUCUAUUCCUAAAACAAUAAAAGAGCUUAGAGGAAUUAUGGGAUUGCCAUGUUAUUACUGGAAAUUCAUAGGGUGAUUUGGAAUUCUAAGUAGUCCCUCGACUAACUUAUUCAAGAUAUCUUUAACUAGUAUAAGAAUUCAUAAAAGACUUUUGAAAGACUUAAAACAACCUUUUGUGAUACACCAGUAUUAGCAAUAUCUAAUUCUAGAAUGAUUUUUGCACUAUAAAUUGAUGCUUGUGCUACAAGAAUAGGGGUGGUCCUUAGUCAGGAAGGGAGACCAUUGCCUAAGUAAAGCUUAGGUAUUUGAGAUUAUCUACAUAUAGGAAGGAAUAUUUGGUAAUUUUAUUGGCAGUAGACAAAUAAAGACAAUGUUUGGAGCAUGAUUAGUUUAUUAUUAAAACUAAUCAUUAGAGUUUGAAAUACUUACUUGAUUAAAAGAUUCAUUCUUCCAUACAAAGAAAAUGUUUGACAAAACUUUUAGGGCUGAGGUAUCGAAUUCUUUAUUAAAAGGGAAAAAGAAUAAUGAUAUUGAAGUUUUGUCAAGGAGGGGAAUGAUUGGUGAAGGACUAAAAACUAAAGAUAAAGUCAAAAUGAAAAACCAGGUGCAAAUAAUAAUGUGAUAACAAACACACUGGUUUUUUUAUUAACGUGGGUAUCCGGGCUAGCUUGCGCGCAUCUCAACUAAUCUCACAGGCCUUGAAGUUAACGAUCAUGUAAGCCUCCAGUAGCCUUGAGGUUUGUGGGACUCAAACUGGUAACCUCUAGGGAGCAAACCUAAAGGCUGACCAAUUGAGCUACACCCCUCAAGGUUAACAAACACACUAUUUUUUGUUUUUUUAGGUGUGGGAGAGAGAGAUUUAGGUGUGGGAGAGAGAGAGAGAGAGAGAGAGAUUAUGUUGCUUGAUGACAUAUAUAAUGUGAUAACUUAAAUUCUCUUUAAAUUAUUUGUCUAUGUUAAUUUGUGUUUGAUGACAUACAUACCAGCAAUAUGUCUUCGAAACAUAGGGUCCCCAAACUUUUCCAUCCAAACAAAGUCGUCAUACAUUGAAUGAUAUACUGGAUAUCCUGCAUGCAGUUGACCAUUACCGUUAGCAAAGCACUAGUUAGAUGUACAAUUACAGUGCUAUAAAACUUAGUCUAACCAUGCGGGUUAAGUUGUGACUGUCAAUCUAGUAUCUGGUUUAAAUUGAAUUUUAAAUUAAACCAAUAAAAGUUAACUUAGAAUAAUCCAAUCAAUUUGAUAAGUGCAUUCAUGACUCGGUUAAAACCAAGUUUGACUUUAAUUUUAUUUUGUAAAAAAAUAUUGAAAUAACGAUAUUUUACAUUGACCCUGUUCCACUCCAGUUAGCUUGUUUAAUUUAUGAUAUAGGUCAUUGGACUAACUAGAUUUAAUAACUUUAUCUUUUGGAAUAUAUUUUUCCAUUUAGUUAUACAACAGUAAAAAUAGAUAGACAUCAAAGAUAACAUAUAAAAUUAUGAGUAUUUUUAAUCAAGAUUAUCUUUUCAAAUUUAUAUAAUUAUUUUCUAGAACAAAAUUAUUUUUUUAUUCACAAUAUAUUCAUUAAAUAAACAAGCAAAAACAAUCAUACAAAAUAUAUAUAAAAAAACAACAAUUUGAACUAAAAAGUAAAACAAAUAUUUGAUAAAAAAAAUCUAAUUCUCUUAUUAACAAUUCUAUUUUUUAUUUUAACAAAAGCAUUUUUUUUACGAUAAUCAUUGUUUUUUAAGAAAAAAAAUUAUUACAACUAUGAAAGCAAGUUUUAAGUAACAUCAUUUUUUUUUAAAACAAAUCAAGAAAAAAUCAUUCUUAGGAACCUAUAUGAAAAAAAAUUAAGAGAACAAUAAAUUAAAAAACAUUAUAUAAAAAAAUUAAAAUAAAUAGAUAUUUUACUCUUAUUCAAUAUUAAUGAGCAAAUUAUUUUAAUAAUAUUGUAUACAAGGCUAAUACAUAAUUUUUCAUAAAACAACUUAUAAUACAAUUAUAAAAAGCCCAUAUAUUCUUAAAAACAAUGAGAUAAUAUUUCUGGUAAAAAAAAUUAAUCAUUUGAAACAAGAAAAACCAUUUACCUCUCCAAUAUAUACUUUCUUAUUAAUGCAUCUAUUUUUUGUUCCAACAAAGCAUGUUUUUCACUCAUAAGUAUUGUUUCUCAACUAAAAACUUAUCAUGAUCUCGUAAGUGUUUUUUAAUAAAAAAAUUAAAAUAAUGGCUCAAUAUUUUUGUAUAUAAAAAAAUAUAUUAAGAAAAAAAGUAACAUAUUUUUAUCAUUGAACAAAUUUUCAAUUCUAACUUUUGCAUAUUAGGCACAUAAUAUUUGAGAGUUAUAUUGUUAACAUUCCCAUAAAAAAUUUCAAGAUAUUAUUUAAAAACUAUGUCAAAAUUAAUUUCAAUAAAAGUAAAAUAAAAACAAUAGAAAAAGACCAGGCACUUGAUCCUUAAAGAUUUGGUCCACAAACGAUGAAUUAAAAAUGAUAUUUUGUUGGUGAUAUGUUAUAUUUACCGAUAAAUAUACUGACGGUCAAAUGAAAAUACCAAUGACAUUACAUAUGAUUUUCCUAUCGGUGAUAUAUUAAAUUUACCGAUGGAGAUACCGACGAAAUAAAGCAGGUAAAUGUUUUUUGGCACACUUUGUAUGUCAGUAAAUCCAUCAAUGUAUUCAUUACCAAUUGACUCACCAACAGACCAUAAAUUAUCGACGUGAGUUUUUUCGACGGAUUGUUUUCGUCCGCGAGUCCGUUGGUAAUAUACGUACCGAUAAACUGUGAGUGUAAAUACCAUAAAUUCUAACUUCAUUUCUUUUUUUCUAUUUCUUCUCUCAAAAUCCAAAAACUAAAAAGUAAAACAAAUAAAGUUUAGGAUUGAAAAGUUAAACCCUUUAAAAACAAUCAUGGAUAAAAAUAAAAAAAAUAAAAAGUUUUAAAAAAGAAAAAGAAGGCCGACUCUUUGCUUCUUUGUUAAAUUUAGUUCAUGGAAAGAAGAAGAAGAAGAAGAAAGAUAUCCUAUUACUAAGUUACGAAAAAUCAAUUUCAUUUGCCAAAUCUCUAUAAAAGGUAUUCUUAAAAAUGAAAAGAAAAGAAAAGAAAGAACAAAAGCUGUUUAUUACCUUUCCCAAAAGAGACGUCAGCCGAUGCAAUGCCAAUAUGUUGUACAAAAGCUGCAUAAUCUGAUCCUCCACCACCUAGUCUCUCAAUCUCCAUAUAUUCACGUAGUAUAUAUAAUUUUAUUACCAUUAAUUAGGCAUCUUAAUACUAUAUAUAUAUAUAUAUAUAUAUAUAUAUAUAUAUAGUAAUAAAACUAAAGCAAACAUAUAUAUAAGCUCCUAUCAUCAUGAAAAGUGGAUUGACAGGCUGAUAAUAUAUAGAUCAUUAAACUACUAAUCUCCUAAAAUUUUGUGUUGUCCUCCACAUAUUAAUUAGCAAUUAUAUAACACAAGGAAAACAAAUAAAGGUAAUUAAAAAAACAUUUAAUGAAAAAUAUCAUAUCAUAAGUUGUUUAAGGAUUUAUUUUAAUAUAGAGGUUGGGUUAUAUUUUAUUUACACUUUUAUUAUUAUUUCUAAAAUCCUUUCUAAAUAAAAAUAAUAUCAUAUCUUUUGAUGUAGUGUUUUUUCCUAAGAGAAAAUCAAGUAGAUUAAGGGUUUCAAAUGAAUAUGCAUUAAGCAUAUUCAAAGAAUCCAAGAUUUUGAAACACCCAUUCUUUUAAUUCCACAUGAAAGAAUAUUUGGCAAAACUAUAUGUUAAAAAGCAACUGCGCUGAUGAAUGUCUUAAUUAGAACUUCUCAUCUAGCAGUCCAACGAUCUCUUGUUGAUUUUACCAUAGGGUUUCUCCGAUGUCAAUAACUCAUGUGCAAUUGCAUCAAUCAAUCGGCAAGGCCAGCAUUAAUAUGCUUACCGUAGGAGAGUUGUCGGGAGCAACCCAUGAUUCAUAGAUGGUCUGUGAUGAGUUAUCUGGGUCACCAACCUUCAAAAGCCAACAAAAGAAUCUUGCUGAGAUGAGCUAAAAACAAAACACACACACAGACAGAUAUAUAUAUAUAUAUAUAUAUAUAUAUAUAUAUAUAUAUAUAUAUAUAUUUCACAUAUAAAAAGUAGUGGUUGUGGUGAGAGCUAGGUGGUAUAAUAAAUGAUCAAUGGAUGAUGAUAAUGCUAAUGGCGAGAGAUGGUAGUAGAGGCAAUGAGUGUAACAGCGAUAAAGAUGAUGAUAAUUAUUGAUGGUGAUGGUGAUGGUAUCUUUAAUAAUUAUAGCUAGAUUGAUGAUGGUGGUAAUAUGAAAUUGUGGAGAGAAUGAUAAUUAGCGUUGAUGGAUAUAUAAAAGCCUUGCUAGAGUGAUAAUGGUGAUGAUUAAGAAAUGAUGUUGUGUUAAUUAAGCACUAUUAUUAACAAUAUGGAAGGGCAUGAUCAUCACUUGUGAUGAUAUCAGUUUGGUUAUGGUGGAGUAAUGUGGUGAUGACAACAAUUAAUUAGUGGUGGGAGCUAGUAUAUAUAAUUUAGUCUUAAUCCUUGUAUUAUAAAAAACUCUGUGUAAAUGGUUAUUAAACAUGUUAGGUACCUGCUGAGUAGUCUUCGCGAGUAAUUUGUCCAGCUGAGGUGUUGCAGAAGCAUGAAAUCCGGCUCCGGUGACUGCACAGUCAACAUUCAAGUAGGCAACAGCCCUCGAUGUCAGGAGUUCUCUAUUGUCUUCUACCCACUCAGUCGAUCCUAUCUGGAAACAGGACUCAGUUUAUGUUACACUUCAUUAAUUUUAAUGACAACACACACACACACACACACAGACAUGAGAGAGAGAGAGAGAGGGAGGGAGAGAGAGACCAGGCCAUACUCUUCCGCAUCCCAAUUGCACAAGACAAUUGUUCUCCGAGGUUUCCAUCCUUUUUCUUGUAGCUUCAUCAGUCUUCGGGCAACCUGCAACGAGGGUAGGAAUCAUUUAUAUUAAUUAUAUGAAUUUCCACUAGUAGAAAAUGGUGAAUUUUCCCAUGACAUUACAUUAUUUACGUGAUUAUGAGUAAAGAACGUAAGAAUUAACAUAAAAAAGCUUAUUAUGACUGGAUUUUCACCAAAUUAUUUACUGAAAAUCCUCGUACAAAUUAAAUAUUAUCUUUGUGUAAGAGAAUAUUUAUACCUAGUAAUUGAAGGUAAUGCAAAAUAACAUGACACUACUUGAGAGAGCACGACUGUAGUUAAUGAUAAAUAGAGACGAAAUAAAUUAAUAUAUUGGGAUUAAUAUUAUUGAUCGAUGAAGCCUACCUCUAACAAUGCCGCGGUUCCACUAUUGGGAUCAACUGCUCCAAAUGUCCAUGCAUCCCGAUGAUUACCCAGAAUCACAAAUCUUUAAAUCAUUGCAACAAAAGUACUAUUAGCAAGUCUCGAAUAAUAGCGCCUAAUGUUGGAUUUUCUUUCUUUGGGAUAUAAUAAAUUACUAGCCUUAUAUAUAUACUCGCAGUAGGAUUUUAAAUUAAUUUCUAAUGCAACAAAAAAACUUUUUUAAAUUAUAGAUGUGUUUUUUGAUAUCAUGAAUUUUUUAAUCAAAAAACAAAAGAAUUUUGUUAAUACUUAAUAAAAUAAAUUAAAAAAAAUUAAAUUUUAAAUAAAAAAUAGAUAUUAAUGCUAAUUAAUAAAAAAAGCAGGAAACUAAUCUUCAUAGUAAAAGCUAUAUAAAAACGCAAAUGUUUUACACCUUAUAUCCAUUUUAUUUUAUACAUUUUAUUUUAUACAUUUUAAUUUAUUUUAUGUUAGAGGUUAAUUGUUUUUCUUGCUAAUGACAAAUUUUUUUUUUUUAUAAGUGUGCCAUUAAAAUACAACUUAUUUAUAUAAAAUAUAUGAGUGGAAAAAUUAUAAUAAUCUCUUCGCAGCAAUAUAAAAUAAAAUAAAACAUUUAGAAAGAUGAAUCACCUUUUUUUUUAAAAAAAAAAGUAAAGCUAAACCAUUUAAAAAUUAAAAAAGACUGUAUUAAUUAAUAUUUAAAAAAAAAAGAGCAAUGAAAAAGAAAAAUGCUUUACUAGACCCGGUAGGUUAGGUCCACACAUUUAACCAUCCAUUCAAGAGUUCAACAUGCUUGGGUUGAAAGCUCAACCUCACAUGCAUGUCUAUUCUUUUUUUUAAGGUCCCCCCCUCCUCUUAAAAGAGGUGAUAGGUGGCUUAUCGAAUUAAUUUUUAAUUAUUUAUAAUAACUAAAAUUUAGAAUUUAAGUUUUUAGAUUUAAAAAAUUCAUUUUUUAUUUGCUUUUAAUUGAAAACACCUUAAAAACAAUAUCAAGACCUUCAUAAACUUAUUUUUAAUCCAAAAACAGCCUCUAAUUACUUCAAAAAUAAAAAUCAACCAAAUAAAAAAAACUAAACAAACCUUAAUAUACUUUCUGGUAUAUUUAUAGGAAAACAUAACCUCUUGCAAAAAAACAAAUCCACCAACAUAAAAUUAGCUUUUUGGUAGCUAAAUUAUGAUCAUUCGAGAAUCUUUUCUCUUCUUAAAAUUCUAUGAAGAUUUUUUCUCUCUUCUUUUAAUAUCUAGGGAGUGAACGUGAAGACAAUAAAGAUUUAUAUCGGAAUCUAAAUUGCUAAAAUAAGGAACAAAUGAUAGAAAAACCUAUAAUUUAAAGGAUUGAGCUGAAGUUUUGUGUGACAAAAUAGUAAUGGGAUCUUCUUUCUUCUUUUAUUUUUGUCAAAGUUGAUUCUCCUUUUAAUUACAAUUUUUAAUCAUAAUUAAAGAUUGAUUUUGUUAAAUCGAUAUUCAUUUAAUCUUUGAACAUUGUUUACAACUCUAUACAUGUUAGAUGAUGUAAAAUAAAAGAAAUGUUGAAAAAAAUCAAAAGAACAGAGCAACACAUAGUGUUUUUCGAGAUGAGUUAAAGUGAAAUGUCCUUCUCUUCUAGUUUUUUCUAUAAUAAUAUUUUUCGUGCGCACAUUUGUGUAUACCGAUGUGUGUUUUUAUGUGUGUGUGUGUUUUAUAUAUAUAUAUAUAUAUAUAUAUAUAUAUAUAUAUAUAUAUAUAUAUAUAUAUAUAUAUAUUUUUUUUUUUCCUUACCUAUCCGGCUCCUCAACUCCUUCGAUUAUAGCAAUAACAUUCUGAAUUGUUUCUAUAGCUUUCUUUCAUAUAUAUAUAUAUAUAUAGUUCUAUAAAAAAUAAGCAAGUAAAUAGUAGAAUUUAAUGAUCUUACAGUAUAAGUAAGAUUUAGAAUCCCGGGCCCUGGUCCGAGCCUAUAUGUUGGACUAUCUUUGCUUCCUUGCCAGUCUUCAUUUGCCACUUGUCCACCGACAGACCGCAUGAUUGUUUCACCGUCAGCCGCUGAUACAGGCAAUGAAGGUAUUAAAGGAACAUUGCCUUGUUUCUCUACUUCGUCAUCCGAUAUCCUUUCACAUCCUUGAAUACUCGGCCAUCCAGGUGUGCUCGGGUCACCGGCCCCGUCAUAAACAGAUCCCACCUGAACUCCACUUGGUGGCAUCCACUUUGCCUUAGGAAACCAUCCCUCAUCACCUCCACCCCCAUAGUCCUUCCUAUCUGUAUACACAAUUGCUCCUAUUGCGCCUGCCUCAAAUGCAUUAUUUACGAUGUCUCCCCUGAAAAUCUUUCCAUACCUUGCUAAUACAAUAGUCCCCGUUACAUUCACUCCCAUUUCUUUUAAUGUCUUGUAAUCUUCCACCCGCCCGUAGUUCGCAUAAACCACAGCUCCACGAACUGUACCUGACUUUGCAUAGGCAUGGAAAGUGGGCAAGACUUCAUGGGCCACGUCAGCAUAUGGAUCGCCAUCAUAAAUCUCUUGACGAAGAUCAAACGUGAUUGGUAAUUGCUCUGAUGCUGGUUCUGGUUGUGUUAAGAUUAAGGAUCGUGAAAUAGGAUAAGUCAAUGAAACAUCAUAGGAGACGAUGUGGGAAUCGAUGUUGUAUGACACGAGAGUAGAUAGAACAUAGGCCGCAGCUUGGGCGUUGGCUUCUGUUCCAGCAGCAUGGGGUCGGCGGGUGAGCAUGUAGAGGUCGUGUGAUAUCGAUGCAUUGUCAGAGAUGGAGUUGGAUAUGUAGAGGGAAUGAUAAUAUGAUUUGGGUAGAGAAGAAGAUAGUAAAAAGGAGAAAGAAGUUGCUAUGCCUAUUGCUAGGAAGCUAACGAUGGCUAUCUUGAUCAUGGAGUGCUUCAAUUUUGUGUAGUUAUGGCUAUGGGAUAUACUCCACUGCUCCUUCAUUAUUGUUGAGGGGCUGCACAGUAUAUUUCGUAGAUGAUUGCUUAGACUUUGGAUGAUUUAUCAAUUAAUCAAAAGCUUUUGACGCAACACCGAUGAAAACGAGAGAGAUUGAGACGUUUAUUUUUUAAUUUCAAUGUACUAUUGCUCGACUGCUUAGCGGUGCUUGUGGGGCUGCACAGACAAAAAAAAAAAAAAAACUAUUUUGGGAGUUAGCCAAUCUAUUUCAAUGGCAAUAUAAUUUUGUACAAAUACCAAAUAUACCACUAAAUUACUUAGGCCAUGUUUGUUUUCUGGAAUUCACUUUCCGGGAAACCACUUUCCAAACUUUCCUGUGUUUGUUUGCCAUUAGAAAAGUUGGUCAACGGAAACCACUUUCCGGUCAACGGAAAACACUUUCCAUUCAACGGAAACACUUUUCGGUCAACGGAAAACAUUUUCCAGUCAACGGAAACACUUUUCGAAUUUGGUUUGGUUUUCAGGAAAGUGUUUUCCCUUUUGGCUGUGUUUGUUUUUCGGAAAGUGAUUUCCGGGAAACCACUUUCCAAACUUUCCUGUGUUUGUUUGCCAUUAGAAAAGUUGGUCAACGGAAAACACUUUCCAGUCAAAGGAAAAUUUGGCUUGGUUUUCAGGAAAGUGUUUUCCUGGAAAAUUUGGGUGGAAAACACUUUCCAGAAGUUGUGAAAAAUUUAGAAAUGUCAUUAUUUGCUGAUUAUAUCAAAUUUGAUUCUCAAACUUUUGAUUGCUAUAUAUAAUUUGUUUUGAAUAUUUAUUUUUCAAUUCCAUCUCUUAAAAUUUAAUUUUUAUAUUAAUUUUGGUCCUUAUUUUUAUAAUUGCUAUUUGCUUUUUCCUUAUCAUUUUUUAUUGAAAUUUUUUAUCUAUCAAAUUUGGUCCUCAUUCUUUUGAUUGUUACUUAUUUUAUUUGAAAUAAUUUAUGAAAUGUUAAUUAUUAUUAUUUUAAUUUCUUCACCUUUUAUUUUUUUUUAUUUUUUUAGAUUUGAUCUCUAUUAUUUUGAUUAUUAUUUAUUUUAUUUGAAAUAAUUUAUGAAAUUAUAUUUUUUUUCAAUUUCAUUCUCAUUCAACUUUUUAAUUUGUAAGAUUUGUUCCUCAUUAUUUUAAUAAACUUGAGAAAAAUAAAACAUUAAUAAGUUAUUUUCCAGCUUAUUUUCCAUGACAUAACCAAACACUGGAAAGUGUUUUCCAACUUACUUUCCAUUACACUACCAAACAUCGGAAAAUACUUUCCCGAAAUUCACUUUCCCCGGAAUUCACUUUCCAAAAGAAAACUACUUUCCAGCAAACAAACGGGACUUUAGAUAUCAUUCAUUUUAUUCCCCAACUCAAUUCCAUAAACAUUAUUGUUUUCAUACCGGUAUGCAAAAACAUAUAAUGGGGCAAUGAAAAGUAUCUAAAGUUGUUUGCUUGGCUACUUAAGGCAUAAAAAUUGCAAAAAGCCCUAAUUUGACAUGUAUGAAAAUACAUAUUGUGAGACUAGGCUAGUUAAGGCAAAAACAUUGCAAAAGCCCUCAUUUCACAACCUUAUAAAAUUCACAAUGAUAUUAAAAAAUGUUUGGUGUAGCUUUGAAGGUGCAUAAAGUUUCCUAAUAGGCUAGUUAUCGUACAAAAGUCACGAAAGCACCAAUUUCACAAAUUUUAUGGUUUUCGCGUCUAUAUGUAGAAACAUAUCGUGAGGCCAUGAAUGGUGGCUAAAAUUGUCUAACAAGUUAGUUAAGGCAUAAAAGUUGCAAAAACACAAAUUCCACCAACCUUCCAGUUGCCUUAAUGUUAUGAUAAAUGUUUUAUAAGGCCUAAAAAUUGCGUAAAAUUGCUUGAUAGGCUAGUUAAGGGACAAAAGUGGCCAAAUCUCCAAAUCCACCAAGUUUAUUAUUUUUCACACUGGUAUGUACAAACAUGUUGUAUGGCUAGGAAAGGUGCCUAAAGUUGUUCAGACUAGUUAAGGCAUAAAAGUUGUAAAAGCCUAAAUUAAACAAACCUUAUGAUUUUUGCAUAGGUAUGUAAAAUCAUUGUAUGAGGCACCAAAAUGUGUCUAAAGUUGCUUAGUAUGCUAGUUAAGGCGCAAAAGUUAGAAAUGCAACAAUUUUUUAAACCAUAUGGUUUCACAUAGGUAUACCAAAACAUAUUGUGUGACCAUAAAAGGUACUAAAGUUGCUCGGUAUGCUAGUUAAGGCACUAAAGAUGUAAAAGCAUAGAUUCCAUAAAUGUUAUAUUUUCACGUGGGUAUGAAAAAAUUAAUUUUGGAGCCCCAAAACUUGCAAAACUUCUUAAUAAGCUAGUUAAGGCAUAAAAGUUACAAACCAAAAAUUCCAGAAACCUUAUGGUUUCAUAUUGUUAUAGCAAAAUGUACCGUGAGGACUCAAAAGUAGCGUAAAGUUGCCUCUAGGCUACUUAAGUUAUAAAAGUUUCCAAAGCACCAACUCCACAAAUGUUAUGACUUUCAUUUAGGUAUGCAAAACCAUAUUGUUGAUACAUGAAAGGUGUUUAAAGUUGUCUGGUAGGCUAUUUAUGACAUAAAAGUUAGAAAAGCUCCUUUUUCAAUAACCUUAUAGUUUUCACACCGGUAUGGAAAACCAUUCCAUAAGGCUCUUAAAUGUGCAGAAAGUUGCCCAAAAAGGUAGUAAAGGCAUAGAAUUUGCAAGAGCAUAUAUUCCAUAAUUUUUAUGGUUUUUGCAUGUGUAUGCAAAAACAUAUUGUAGGGUCUUAAAAGGUGUAUAAAGUUUCUAAAUACUAGCUUUUGCAAAUAUGCCUAAAAUAAUCUAGAAUGCUAUUUGAAACAUAAAAGUUUCUAAAACACCAAUUUCACAAACCUUAUAGUUUUCGUAUUGGUAUGUAAAAACAUAUAUGGGGCAACGAAAGGUGUCUAAUUUUGUUUGUUAUGCUAGUUAAGGCAAAAAAAUAGCAAUAGCCCAAAUUCCAUACGGUAUGCAAAAAUAUAUUGCGAGGCCCUGAAAAGUGUUUAAAGUUUUAUGGUAGGCUAGUUAAGGGAAAACUUUUGCAAAAUCCCCAGUUUCACAAGCCUUAUGGAAUUCACACCAAUAUUAAAAAUGCGUUGUGUAGCCUCGAAAGGUUGUAAAGUUUCCUAAUAGGCUAAUUAAGGCUCAAAAGUUGUAAAAGUUUAAAUUCCAUAAAUCAUAUGGUUUUUGUGUUCAUAUGCAAAAAUAUAUCAUGGGGCCUUAAAAGGAGGCUAAAAUUACUUGAUAGCUAAUUAUCAAAAAGUGUGUAAAGUGUCCUGCAUAAAAGUUGCAAAAGUUCAAACUCAACAAACCUCGUGGUUUUUCAUAUAGGAUGGAAAAACAUUACAUAAGACCCCGAAAGGGGUGUAGAUUUUCCCAAUAGGCUAGUUUAAGGCAUUAAAGUUGCAACAUCCCAAAUUUCACAAACCUUAUGGCUUUCACUUGUGUAUGCAAAAACAUAUUGUGAGCCUUGAAAGGUGCCUAAAAUUUUCUAAUAGGAUGAUAACAUUAAUUCCAUUAACCUUAUUAGAAAAUUUUGGGACCAUGAAAGGGCCUAAAGUUAUUUGGUAGGAUAAUUAAGACAUAGGUUGCAAAAGCCUAAAUUUCACAAACCUUAUGGUUCUUUCACAAGUAUGAAAACACAUUCAGUGAAGCCUUGAAUUGUGCAUGAAGUUUUGUGGAAGGCUAGUUAUGGUUUAUUGUAAAAACCACCAAUUCAAGAAACCUUAUAAUUUUUGUAGCCCUAAAAUUUGUAUAAAGAAGCCAAAUAGGCUAGUUGAGGCACCAAAGUUGCAAAAUCUCUAAUUAUUAAAUCCUUAUAUUUCUCAAGCUGAUAUAAAAAAGUUUUCUAUAAGGCCACGAAAGGUGCCUAAAGUUGUAUGGUAUACUAUAUUUAAGGAACAAGAUUUGUUAAGGCACCAAUUUCACAAAUCUUAUGGUUUUUCCCAUUGAAAACAUAUCGUAAGGCUACAAAAGGUGCUUGGUGUGUCAAAUGAGGCACCAAAGUUGCAAAAGCACCAAUUCCACAAUCCUUUUAGUUUUUUCUUAAGUAUGUAAAAACAUAUCAUAAGCCCUCUUAAAAAAUGUCUAAAGUUAUGCGAUAGGCUGUUUAAAGCACAAAAAAUGCCAAAUCACCAAUUUUACAAACCUUAUGGUUUUUGCACUGGUAUGGGCUAUAAAAUAUGCCUAAAGUUAUUCAAUAGGCUAGUUAAAGCACAAAAGUUACAAUAGGCCCAAUUCCACAAGGUAUGAUAUCAUAAUGCCCUAAAAAGUGCCUAAAGUUGCACGGUAGGCAAGUUAUGGAAAAAAUGUUGCAAAAGCCCCGAUUCCAUAAACCUAAUGGAAUUCGCACCAAUAGUAAAAAUGUACCGCAUAAAAGUUUUAAAAGCAUGAAUUCCGUAAACCAUAUAGUUUUCACAUUGGUAUUUAAAAACAUAUCAUAAGGCCACAAAAAAUGUCUAAGGUUUUCAGCAAGAUAGUUAAGGCACAAAGUUGUAAAAGCCCAAUUCUCACAAACCUUAUGGUUUUUGCACAUGUAUUCAAAAAAAAAUAAAAAUUAAGAGGCCUUAAAAGGUUUCAUUAGACUAGUGAAGGCAUAAAAGUUGCAAAAACUCCAUUUUAUAAUCCUUAUGGUUUUCUCACUAGUAUACAAAAAUAUACAGCAAAGCUUUGAAAGGUGCCUAAAGUUUUUUAGUAGGUUAUUUAAAGCACGAAAGUCGUCAAAGCAUCAAUUUCAUAAACCUUAUGGUUUUUGCAUGGGUAUGCAAGAAAUUCCAUGACGAGAGCCUUGUUCUUUUGGUUGAUUUACCAUAGGUUUGUUUGUGUAAAACCUAGAGCAACCCUAUAUUGCAUUGCAAGUCUUUUGUUUUAGGCCAUCUGAGUUGAGUUUAGGCCAUUGUUGUUCAAGGCAAUAAAAUUCAUUGAUAGUGAUUACUGAUAAAUCUAUAAAUUUAUUAGGAGCAUGUCUAAGACUAUUAAUGUAACAUCCCCAUAUCCGAGAUUAAGCAACAAUCUCAUGUCAACUAAUACACAGAGUAAUUUAAUAUGUGUAAGGUGUUCAUAUUAAAUUUUUACUGAAAUUUUCACUAAAAUUUCGGUAGAGUCUCCCCUACAUCGGGAAGUCCCAAGUUAUCGACAUUUAACCUGUUUAUACUUCUAAUAUUUCACAUCUCAUAACUCAAUCAUGACCCAAUCGUCCUGGGUCUCAAUCCCACAAACAUCAUCGUCAUCACAACCAUAAUAUUUAUAACAUACAUUGAACAACAAAUAUCAUUAUAGAGGAAUAAUGAGAUAAACAUGUAUACAUGGACACAUUCAUAUGAAAUUCAGAGUUAAGAUUAUCUAUUCAAGUUUAAACAUUAAUUAUACAAAUUAAGUUAUAUAAAAGUUGUAAUAUUACAAAAUACAAAGGUAUACUCCCUAGAACCUAGAAUUACAAAAAGUGAACAUAAGUUAGGAUCUACUCCUAUCGUGCAUGCGAGGGUCCUGAAACAAAAUAUGUAUUAUUGAAACAUGAAUAUCAAAAUAGAUAUAAUAACACAAAUAUCCAGCAAUUUAAAAAGGCAAACAUGCAUUCAUAUUUUAUUCACUUCUCCCUUCUGGUUUUCAUUGGAAACUCUUUCUUAUUCAACUAUUAAAAACCGUUUUCUCUUCCAUUAUCAACCUCCAUUCAAGAUUUCAUAAGAUCAACCAUGAUUAUUUCUGCUUAACACAUUACCGAAAAUAAUUUCACUGGUAUCAUCAUCACCCCGUAGGAGUCGAUGCAAGGUAAUCCCCUUCCCCGGGAUCCUGAUAUACACUAAAUAUAUGCUAGGCAAUACAUGGUGAUCCCCUUACCCGGGAUCCUAACAUACACUAAAUGUAUGCUAGUCCACGCCCUAUAUCACACUUCUCAUAUUUUCGUUGUCAGCCAUAAUUUCAUUGCUUAGAAAUUCACACAACAACCUUUCACCUCGAAUACACAUACAUUCAGAAUACUAUCUAAAAUAUCGACAUCAUUACACAACUUUCCUCCUUUCAUAUAAUAUCCAACAUUCGGUAAUUCACCUUUCACAUCAAUAACAUAUUAAAUUAUGGAAUUUAACUAGAAAGUAUAGGUGCGGAUCACCUACCUACAAUAGAAGCCCUACUCGUGCUCCCCUGCUGUUGUUGCUGCUGCACCACGCCUGUUGUCCCUCCUGCGAAUCACAUGUUUAUCUCAUAAAUUUUCCUCAUUCAAGGAUAUGUUUUAUAAUAACCAUAUCAAUAACCAAUAAGUCUUUCUUUUAAUCAUUUCUUUAUAUUUCACCAAUUAAUAUUGUCGUUCUUUGUCCAACCAUAGUUAUCAUUCCUUUCUUUAUAUUUGAACUGUUACUGUUUAAAUCUCGAACUAUUACUGUCUAACCGUUACUAUCUAGACAUUGGACAAUUACUAUCCAACCAUUACUGUCUUGAACUGUUAUUGUAUUGAACUGUUACUGUCUAGACAUUGAAUUGUUACUGUCAAGACAUUGGACUGUUACUGUCCAACUGUUACUGUCUAGACAUUGGACUGUUACUAUCCAACCAUUACUGUCUUGAACUGUUAUUGUAUUGAACCGUUACUGUCUAGACAUUGAACUGUUACUGUCAAGACAUUGGACUGUUACUGUUUAGACAUUGGACUGUUAUUGUCCAACCGUUACUGUCCAACCUCUCCUCAGAUUAUUAACUAUAUCCAGAGUUAUAGAACUCCGUUUCAAGCGAGAUUGGUCUCGUUAGAAAGCUAAAACUUGAGGCUACAAGUUCUCUGAAGGAAGGAGAACCCAGUUCUGCCCCCAAGAUAGUCAAAAUUGCUCAUCAACUAAUCAGUCCUACUGACCUAUAGGGUCUGUCAUGACCCAAUCUCGGUUGGUGACCCAUAACUGGAGUUCUAUAGCUCCAAAUUAAGCAUGGCCAAUUUCCUUAGUUAGUGAACAUCCAAAACUACAAUUUCUAUGAGGAACAUGUUCCUAAUUCCUUCAUCCUCCUACCCGAAAUCUCAUCGAAAGUUGGGAGAUGAGUUUGCCCAGAUUCGUCACCCCUUCCAUUCACACAUAACAUUCACAAACUACAUUUUUUGGGUAAAUUAUCAUGAUUUCAUGUCCCCAAAUCAUAUACAACACAUGAAUUAACUUAAUUUUAACAUCUAUUACAUUUUUUCCAAUUCAAGUCUAAGAACCCUAAUCUCUAAUUCAAAAUCAAGACAUCAAUUCAUAAUCGAAUUUGAAACGACUUAUAGGACCAUGAUUAGAACAUCUUACCUAGUAAGAAUCAAGGUUUUGAUCUUCAACCAGUCGAAGAUUUUCGACUCUCCCUUUUUCCUAUGGAUAGCCGGCACUCCCCUCUCUCUUUUGUUCAAAAUUUUCUUGUUAAUCCCUUGCCCCUAAGUGUUUAUUCUACGUAUAAACCCUUAAUCUUGGAUGAGUUCUUAAAAUUUGGUGUUUCUCUCUUGAUUUGCAAGAAUGGAUACAAAAACUCCUCCUUUUCUUUCCUUAUGGCUGCUGUAGAUUUUUGGUGAGGAGAUGAGUAUUUAUACUCUAUAAUUUCUCUUAUUUGCACUUAGGCCCCAUUUACUUUAAGUGUAUUAUUUUCUUCAAUUAAAUCCAACCCUCGACAUUACCGGGUUUAUUUAUAAUGUCUCGAAUUAUUUUGCUUAGAAAAUUAUAUUCAAAAACUUUCGAAUUCUUGUUUUUAUUUAAUCAUUUGCAUGAAUUUCUUCAUUUUAUUUCCCAUGUAGUUAGUUUGCAAUUUAAGAAACCUUUAUUUUUUCUCGGGGUUUACAAUUAUAACUUCUUCUUCUUCUUCUUCUUCUUAUAAUAAUAAAAAUAUUAUUCUUAAUAAAAAAAACUUAGAAAAAAGGCUAUCUGACUAGAAAAAUUUGUCAACUCCAAAAUCUCAUAUUUAUCAAUCUAGGAAAUUUAAUUUAUUAUCUCAUUAUGUUAUUAAGAUGGUAAACACUAUUCCAAUAACUGUAGAGUAUGACACCUUUAAUCUCCUCUUCUAAAAGUUCAUAUAUGAAUAUAAGAGCAAAUGUAAAUAUUUGGAUCUUAGACUUGUGUAAUUUUGCCUCAAACCUUUUACAAAGAUAGGAUUAAACACCUUUACACUAAUAGUGGUGAACGAAAUGAGGCAUAACAUGUUUAAAGACUCCAUAAAUGAGUUUAUAAAAUCUAUUUUGUGUGAUGGAUUAAUUUAUUCUCAUUCUAGUACAAAUGUCACGGUUUUCUUAUAUGAUCCAAUCAUUUAUGCAUGCUUUGCCUGUAAUUAUCAACAAAAACUAAAAAACUAGGAGACAAUCAUUGUUCAUAUGAAUAGUGAACCUACUACCUAGUUUGUUUUAUAUAAUUUUUAAAGUUUUUUUUCAAUUGCAUCAUUUUAUAGUCUAAUUAUAUGAAAUUAGGUUUGAAAUUAUAAUAGAAAUACAAAAUCAAAAGAUAAAGAACUAAAAUGUAAAACACGAAGAAAAACAUGACUUACCCAAAAUUCACAAUACUCUUUAUUUUGACCUAAAAGCUUAUUUUGUUUAUUUUUAUGUCCUUGAGUUAGAGAGAGAAGAGAGAAAGUUGCUGAAAAAUAGUGAAAGAGUGAAAUGGUUGAUUUUCACGAUUCCAACAACAAAAAUGGUUAAGUUGGUGUCAAUAGGUUCCAUUCGAUAAGGGAAGUUUAAUGAUGAUGAGUUUCUCCUGUAAACAUGUUUGAAAAAGAAGAUUAGAUUCCAUUUUUCUUUUUUGGUUGAGUUGAUUUUGGUUUUAUUGGGUGAUUUUAUGGUAUUUUGAGGUUAGUAAGUGAUUUAGAAAGGCUUUUAUAAAGUUUAUCAGGUGUUUUUGUGUGAAAAUACAUUAAAAAAUGAAUUUUUAACCCAAAAAACCCUAUCCCAAGAUUUUUCGACCAUCAUAGUGGUGAUAGAAUUCUAAGAUGGGAAUAGAAAAUGACAUGGUCUACCCCUAGCUGGCGACAUGUCACUUGUUUAUUUAAAAAAUAAUAAUAAAGGGAGGACAACAUAUCACUUGCCCUUUACAAAAUAAAUAAAUAAAUAUGGCCUAGGAUUGCGGGCCUCACCCAGGCCCUGACACGCUAGGCUACUUAGGCUUACGCGUCUGACCUGACCUGUUUUUUUUAGAUAAAAAAACCUUUAACAUUCUAUUUUUGAUGAUUUUUUUUAUUGUUUUUUCUUCAUUUUUAUCAUUUAAUAUUGUGUUGAUUUUGAACUGGUCUUUAUUUUUUAUCAUAUAACUAACAAAGAAAUAUUAUUGAACCCAUUGGAGUCCAUAAUCAAGGUCACGAGUUUGAUGAAUUAACCAAGGUUGAUCAAAAUUGAUUCAAUAUGUCAUCGUUUCAAUGUAAAAAAAGAAAGAUAUCAACUUCAAUUUUUUUAAAAGUCAAACUGGUUUUUACCGGUCAUACAGGUUGUCGUUGAACCUAUACAUUUGGUCUUUGUUUUUUUUCUCCAUUGAUUUUUUUGUUUUAUCUUUGGACCUGUGAAGUUGAUUGGAUCACAUCAAGGCAACUCUUACAUGAUUUAAUUUGAAACCUGGACUUGACUUGUUGGACCGAGUUUAAUGACAAUAUCGAAGAAUUCCUUGUAUCUUGGAUUUCUUUUUUGCAUUUAAGUUUUUUUUGUUCAACUCACAGCAUAGCGAAAAGUAAACUAGUAAAGACUUUAAAGGGUAUGAUAUGAUGCAUGAAUCACAUAAUUAUUGAAUUUGCUAUAAAAUUACGAGUGCUACAAUCCCUUUAAAGUUAUGAAUGCUACAGUGUUUAAAGAGAGGAGCGUACUACUCUUUUUGCGAAAUUAUAUGCUCCUAGUUAUUCUAUAUCAGAAAUAUAUAACGUAACAUCUAUUAGCGCUUCAAGAGAACAAACCUUAAAACAACUCCAACACGAAAUUAAUUCUCUAAAAAGAAAAUUACAAGAGCUAAAAGGCCUAAGGCAAAGUAAAUUCUGUAUGAAAAAAUGUCUUUAGCAAAUGAAACCUUUUCUAAUUUAGAAAAAGAAUCUAAAAAAUAAAGGAGGUUUCUAAUCCUAAUAAGAAUUAUAUUAGCAGUCUUCAAAGACUAAAUUAGAAUAGGUUUCUAAUUGAAAGGGUUUAUGGCAAAAAUGUAUUACUGAAAAUUACUUUGAUAAUUAAUAAUGAUUUUAGUUUAAAAACUAAAUCUUUUAUUGAUUCUAAGGAUAAUCUUAAUUGCAUUCGUGAAGGAUUAGUUUCCAUAAAGUAUAUGUCCAAAACUACCUGAAUAAUAAUCACCACUAAUAAGCAAAGUUUGCUUAUAGAGUACAAACUCUCUAAUGCAAAAAUAUACUGCAAUGAAAUAUGUAUUCCUAUUCCUUUUGUUAUGAUAAAAGGUAUAGGGCAAAAAUUAAUUCAUAGAAACCUAUUUCUGCAUAGUAUAACUACUUAUUAUACUAUUGAUAAGGGUAUUACUUCAUAAAUUCAAGGAUUUCUAAUUUCUGCAUGCAAGAUAUUCAGUAUACCAUACCAAAUUAAUCUCUUAUCGGAGAUAAUAGAAACAAAAGAAAACUUUCUUAAUUCUUUGAAGGAUGAAGUGACAAUUAAAAGACUAGCUAAUUAGCUAGAAUCUCUUAAAAUUAAGGAGAAAAUUGAAUUUACCAAUCAUUAAAGAAACUAGUUACUUGACCCACACUCCAUCACGGGUCAAUGUUUUUUUUAAAAGCUAGGAAUGUAGGCUAUUUUGAUAUGUUUUUUAUAUAAAAAAAUUCAAAGUAUAAAUUGAAAAGCUUAUGCAAGCAUUUAAUCAACUAAAUCAAUAAUCAUCUAUGUAAAUAAACAAAAAAAAUCAUUAACAAUAAAUAAAAGAGAAACUGAAAAAAUUAAGAGAUGGAUGUAGGUCGAGAUAUUUGAUCUUACAAAUUGAGACAUUUACUAGUUUGUGUCUAGUGAAUUUGUUUGUUAGAAUCGAUAAAAGAUAGAAAUAGAAACACAUACGAAACUGAUUGAAUAAAUAAAAUAAAAAAUAUUUUUUUAUAAAAUAAAGCUCAUUUGUAUAUAAUAAAAAAAAUUCUUCAAAUAUUAAAUACAAAAAAAACUAAAAAAAAACUCUAUUUAAAAAAGUCCUACAAAAUCCACGGUCUAGGUCAUGAGACUGAGAUAAACCGAUAAAGAAGAAAAUAAAUGAUGUAAAAUCAUAAAAGAAAAUGAGAAAAAAAGAUCCUGAACCGCAUAAACUUUUCAAACUUGUUACCCGUUAGAUUGGAAGCACGAUAAAUGAAAAAACUACGAAGCACAUUCCCCCAACAAAUCAAAUGCUGAAGGAUAAAACUUGAAAAAAAAUCAAUCUCACAAAAAAAUAUGAUUAAAAGAAUGAGGGUGAAAAUGAAAAUAAAAAAUAAAUUAGAGGGCAUCGAAAAAAUUUAAAUUGGAGAGUUAAAUUGAAAAGAAAAAACUUUAACAACAAGAAAAAAAUCGAAAGAAUGAGGGAUAAAUUAAAAACAAUAAAACAACAUAAAAUUUGAUUGAAGGAUAAAAUUAAAAACCAACAAAAAAUUAAUAAAAGAGCCAAGGGAAAAAAUCAGAAAUCAAAAGAAUAAGGACCGAAUUGAAAAAAAUAAUAUAUGACAAAUUGUAACUGAAUGACUAAAUUAAAAAUAUAAAGUAAUUUUAUAAAAGGACCAAAGAUGAAAAAAAGCAAUAAAAAACAUAGGGACUAAAAUUAAAAAAUCUAAAGAAAAGAGGAUAGAUGUGCACUUUCUUUGGAAGAGAGGAAAAAAAAGAAAAAAAAGGAAAUGACCGCCGACAACAAAUCACUCAUCAUUUGUUGCCAUGCGCUGUCUUAUAAGGAAGAGGACACGUUGGGGCUUUUAAAAACACGACAGAAAGGUAGGUUUGGCCACCGUAUGGUGUCACACGCUCCAACAGCUUUUUUGAAUAAAAAAAUAUUUUUUCAAAUGAAAAAUACUAGAAUACCCUCCAUGAACCUAAGAAUUACAAAAAAAAAUCUUGAAAGGACUUAUAUGCCCCCAGGGUCAUGCCUUGAUUUAUCUUUUCUGAGGGUAAAAAUGUAUUUUUAAUGUACUCUAAUAAAUGAAAAGUCGGAAAGGCUCUUGGUCAACAACUCUAAUUUUUUUACAUGAGGACUAAAUAAGUAUUUUUAACAUUUUAAAAGUUUUUGAAUAGACUAAAUAACCCUUGAUCAUAUCUCUAGAUUUUGUUGACUUUACGAGUAAAAAUGUGUUUUCACUAUGCAAAAAAAUGAAAAAGACUAACAUACCCUCGAACAAUCUUCUAAUGUUCAAUGGACCUAUGGAAAAGACUAAACUACUCUCAAAACAAAGCCUCUCAUUUCUUUCUACAUAAAGGCAAAAUGAUAAUUUGACUGUAGCAAUCCAUAAUAAAUUAUGUCUAUAGCUGCAGUGAAGCUCCUACAACCUAUAAGGUUUAAGUUAAUUUGUGAUGAAGUUCGAAAUGCAUUUUGGAAUAUAAAACAACAAAUAGUUUUAAUGAGAGAAAUAUCUCCACCAAACCUUAACCCAUUCCUAUGAAUACUCGUCAUUUAGAAAUUUGUAAAAAGAGAUCGAGGAACUCUUACAGAAGGUGUGUGUGCACACAAGUCAUAGCCUAUGGAGUUGUCCGGUAUUCUAUAUGGAAAAUGAUAUUGAACUCGAAAGAGGAGUUUCAUGAUUAGUGAUAAACUAUAAACCACUUAAUAAAACACUGGAUUAAAUAUCAUAUUCUUAUUAAGAGGGAUCUUUUAAAUAGGCUUAAUAAAGCCAAAAUCUUCUCUGAAUUCAAUAUGAAAUCUGGGUUUGGUAAUGUGCUAGUCUCUAAUUAAUUGAUGAACACUUCAAGCACUUCAAUGCCUUUAUCAUGGCUAUUAAAGUGGUUGGUUUAGUAGUUUCAGCUAAAAAGGUGAAACUAUUUUAUAUAAAAGUCAUAUUUCUGGGGCAUUAUAUUCAAACUAGGUUUAUUGAGCCCAUUGAAAGAGCGAUCUAGUUUGCUAACAAAAUCCCCAAUAAAAUUAAAGACGAAACUGUGUUGUAACAAUCUUUGGGUUGUCUGAACUAUAUUUCAGAAUUUUAUCAACAUUUGGCCUAAGAUUGUUAAUCUAUUAUCCCAAAAACUAAAGAAAAGCUCUUCAUAAUGGAAUUUUAGGCAUAUUAGAGCAAUUCAAAAGAUCAAAGCUCGUGUAAAAGAACUUCCAUGUCUAUGCCUAGCUAAUCUAAAAGCCUUCAAAAUUGUUAAAACAUAUGGUUCUUAAAUUGGCUAGGGGAGUGUCUUGAAACAAAAGGGUUAAGAGAAAAUAACUAUUAGUUAGGUUCAUAAUUGGUGCAUGGAACCUUAUCUAACAAAAUUAUUCAAUGCUAAAAAAAAGACCUUAUCAAUAGUUCUUUAUGUUUCUAAGUUUCAGGAUGAUUGGAUCAAUAAGCAAUUCUUAUUAAGAGUUAAUUAUGAAUCUACAAAAGAUAUCCUAAUCAAGGAUGUUAAAAAUAUUUUUUUUCUAAAUAAAUAUUUGCUAGAUGGUAAGCUAUCCUCUUUGUGUUUAAUCUCGGCAUUGAACACUUAAAUGGAUAUUUAAACAAUCUUCUAGAUUCUCUAAUGUGAGAAUUAUUACAAGGAUUUUAAGUUAAAAACAUAGUUGCAAGCAACUCGCGUUGUAGGAACAGAAGCCUUAAUCUAAAGAGCAUUUCGUCAUACGAAUCAUCUUUUAAUAAGAAGAAUCCAUUAAAAGAUAAGACAUUUUUCUAAAGAAGUUUAUAAGGUUGCUAUUCCACUAACUACCUAGAAGGAAUAUAAAUAUCCUUAAAUUUCCCUGAAUACAAUGUUCAUUUUUCUAAUUGAAGAAAGAUUAUUAGCAAUUCCUUUAAAAGAAGUACAUGGUAUUGUCUUUAAUGAUCACUUUGUCACGUUAUGUUGUCACACUCAUACAUAAAUAGAACUCUCUAGCAUAAAGUGGGAGAAUAUAUGAAAAAUUGGAAUCGCCAUUUAGUAAUUAGAGAAAUCCUAAAGAUUAGCAUUAGUUCUAGAGAUUAAAGUAAGGGGCUAGUUAUACUUAUGGGAAGAACGAUGUUACCCUUACCGCAUCCUUUCUCACAAAAGAUUACUUUUACUAUGUGUUUUCUCCUAAAUCUAUCUUUUUUAUUGCCAUUAAUAAUCCUAAUUAUUUUCUAAGCUUAUUUACAAUUAUAUUUUAAUUUAUUUCUAAUUAUUUGUGAAAAAUUUGAUGUUGUUCCCUAAAAAUAGGAGACUCGUCGAUUAGGCUUUUCGUGAAAAUUUUGACAUCAAUCCCUUAAAAAUGACACUUGUCGAUUGGAGAUUUCAUGAAAACUUUGACAUUGGUCCAUUUAAAAUAGAAGACUUGUUGUUUAGACCAUUUAAAAACUUGGACAUUGGUCCCUUAAAAAAAAACUUGUCAAUUAGUCCAUUUGUGAGAAUUUUGACAUCAAUCCGUUAAAAAAAAGACUUGUUGAUUUGGCUAUGCAUGAAAGAUUUUAACAUCAGUCCCUUAAAAAGGUAGACUUAUUGAAUUGAUUAUUUCUAAAAUGAGUAUUAGAUCCAUAGAGAUGAUAAACUUUGAAUUAAGCUUGGCCCAUUCACUUUGGUUAAUUUUAAAAACAAACCCAAAGGCCACCACUAUCACUUAAUGGGUAUUAGAGUUGACCCAACCCAAAGUAUUAUAUUAUGUUUGCAAAAAAUAUUACAUAAUAUAAAAAAUAAAUUUACAUGAAUAAAAUCAUUUUUAUUCAUUUUUCUUAAUUUUAAAGUUUUAGUAUUUUUUUUAUGAGAAUGCUAUUACUAAAAAUAUUUAGAAUCACACAACAUACAUAAAUCAAGUUCAUGCAAAAACAUAUCGACAUACAUGAAAUUAAACGCAUGAAUAACAUAAAUAUUCAUUUAGGGGUUUGAAAUCUACAUUCAAGGUAGAAAAACAUAAAUGAAUGUUGGAAUAUCCUACUGGCCAUGUGGCGUGCAUGUGGCUAACGCAUUAACUUGUUGAAUUUUAUGUAUUGGAACAUGUGUGUUCAUCAUGUAACAGCCAAAUAUACCUUCAAAAGGAUAUUCAAAACUUAUGAAACUCGACUUGGCCCAAUACGUUGACUUGAACCCCGAAGACCCAGGGCCUUGGUGGAGUCUCAAACGACAAAAACCCAAAGGGCAAUUGGCUUGGUCAGACCUUGGUGACCCUCUAGGUCAACCCAAAACUAGGGUGACACAACGUAACCUAGGUGAGACCGGUUUUUUUUUAACAUUUUUUUUAAUAAACCUAAAAAAUUAUCAAAUUAAUUUUUGAGUACUUAGCCUUACAUUUUUUUUUAUAGCCUACUUCCACGUGAAUUUUUUAUUAACUUUUUAUGUGGGAUAACUAUAUAUAGCCUACAUUUACAUGGAUUGUUUCUUAGCUUUCUGAUAUGAGAUAACUAUAUUACACUUCAUGUCUCACAUUUCUUUUUUAUAGCUUACAUCCACAUAGAUUUGUUUUAAAAAACUUUUGAUGUGGAAUUUUUAAUGUUGGAUAAUUAUACUACAUUUCAUACCUCACAUCUUUUUAUAAUCUAUAUCCACAUGAACUGUUUCUUAAUUUUUUAAUGUGGGAUAAUUAUAUAGAGCUUAUAUUUUCUUAAUAAACCCAAAAAAUAUAUAAUAAUUUAUUAAUAAUUUUCCCCACAUAUCUUUUUUUAUAGCUCGCAUCCACAUGAAUUGUUUCUUAACUUUUUAAUAUGAGAUAACUUUAUAUAGCCUAUAUUCAUAUGAAUUGUAUCUUAACUUUUUGAUUUGGGAUAACUAUACUACGUUUCAUGCCUCACAUUUCUUUUUUAUAACCUACAUUCAUAUGAAUUGUUUUCUUAACUUCUUGAUGUAGAAUAACUAUAUAUAGUCUACAUUCAUAUGGAUUAUUUCUUAACUUUUUGAUGUAGGAUAACUAUACUACACUUCAUGCCUCACAUUUCUUUUAUAGCCUACAUCUACAUAGAUUUUUUUUAAAAAAAAUUCUUGAUGUGGGAUUUUUAAUGUGGAAUAAUUGUACUACAUUUCAUGCCUCAUAUUGUUUUCUAGCCUACAUCCACAUGAAUUGUUUCUUAAUUUCUUGAUAUGGGAUAACUAUAUAGCCUAUAUUUUUUUAACAAACCCAAAAAAUAUAUAAUUAAUUUAUGACUACUUUGCCCCACAUAUCUUUUUUUAUAGCCUGUAUCCAUAUAGAUUGUUUCUUAACUUUUCAAUAUGAGAUAACUUUAUAUAACUUACAUCCACAUGUGUUGUUCCUUAACUUUUAAUAUGAGAUAAUUAUACUACACUUUGUGCCUCACAUUUUUUUUUUUAUAGCCUACAUCCAUAUGAGUUGUUACUUAACAUUUUGAUGUGGAAUAACUAUAUGUAACCUAUAUUCAUAUUGAUUGUUUCUUAGCUUUUUAUUUUUUAUUUUUUAAUAUUAUUAUAUUAUUAUUAAAUAUAUGGCAUGAGCCCGGUCCAACCAACUAGGCUGGACCAAGCCGGGUUAGGCUGACUGGCAGCCCAACAAGCUUCUCUCUCUCUUUUCUUUAUUUAUUGGGCUGGAAUGGGUCCUGCCCAUCUUCACAUAAUCACUAGCCCAACCUACUAACCAUGUGAAUUGGUUAAUUUUUGUAUGCAAAACCAAUGUUUUGCAUGUAAAUGGCUGCCCCAUUUUCAGCCAAAAAAGGGGAAGAAAAAGGUUACCAGUUGUGGGGGAUUGCUGGCCGACAGUGCUGGGAAGGCCGAUGUGCUGUUGGUGGCGGCGCUGGCAACGGAGGCACGACAAAAGAAGAGGAACAAAAUGGCUGGCAAAGAAAAAGAAAAAAUAUGGUAAGAAAAGCUAAUUUUUCUCUAGCUUUGGGCUCUCAUUUCUUCUCCCUCAGUGCAUGGAAUCCACCCCUAUUUAUAGGGGGUAGAAGAGAGACACUUUGUCUCUUUUGGGAACAAAUCUUGGUCCUUGAUUUGAACCGGAAGGAUCUUAACCAUUGGUUGAAAGUGGCAAUCAUAGACUAUCAGAUUUUGACAACUCAAGGCUGCAUGAGUUGACCACUUUAGGAUUGCGUCGAGGUUGCUGUGAUGUUAAUCGACCAGAAAAAACCAUAUCGGGGUAUGGUCGAUUGUCAUGCCAUCAUUUUCGUGUAAGUUUUGUCAAAUUUAGUGGAUAGAUGAAGCAUUAAAUGCCCCUAAAAAGUAGUCCCUGAGUAGUCAUUUCGGGCUUAAAUGAAGAAGAUAAACAGUAACCAGACGAUAAGUUGUCUGGUUAGUCUUUUUUUUUUACUGUUUGGGUAAAAAACAGCGCUGUUUUGGUCAAAACAUGCCAUUUCAUUUAAAUGAAACGAUGCCAUUUUGGCUUUUGAGGUUUUAAUUUAGAGAUUUGGGUAAAGUUCAAUUUGGUCAUCUAACUUUUAAUUUCUUUCAAUUACACCCCUAAUUGACCCUAAACUUCCAAUUUUAUACAAUUUUGCCUUUGCCGUAACGCCUUUUUCACAAUAGUUCUUGGUCUUGGAUUUAUGCAAUUUGACCCUCAAUUGACCAUUGCAUUUUUAAUUUUCUUCAAUUUAAUCCCUGAUUUCAAUCAAUUGAGUCCUCAUAGUUCUGCGCCUUUUACAAAAUGGUCAUUGGCUGCGAAUUUCUUCAAUUUAACUCCUAAUUGACACCAAAACUUUGAUUACUUUUUUUAUGAUUUUACCCCUAAUUUGAACCAAUUGACUUCGUAAAAAUUUAGUUUGGUCUCCUAAAAUUUCAAUCUUCUCAAUCAAGGUCAAAUUAGGCUUCCAAACUUAAUUUUUCACCAAUUAAACCCCUAAUAAAAUUAAUUUGACUCAUUUAAGGUAUAAUUAAGUCCUUGCACCUAGUUAAACCCUUUAAUUGGACCCAAAUUAAUUUUUAAAUAUAAUUAAACUUUAAUUUAGUCCAUUAUUAAAAUCAAAUUGGCAUAUUAAAAAUAUAUUUAUGUCCUUAGAUUUAAUUUUUAUGCAGAUUAUUCCAAUAAUAAUUUAAUUCGACCUUGAAUCUGCAUUGUCUUUUCAGUUUUAGAUAUAAUAGGGUAAAAUUAUGCUUCUGAUUCCAUCCAAAAUUACAGCUUGAUUUGAAAUCCUUUCUCAACCAGCUUUUUUCACGACACCAAUCGCCUUGCUAUUAUGAUUUUAUUUUUUAUUUUUAUUUUGAAAAGAAAAAAGUAAAAAGUUUGGGGAAUAACCCAAAAAUGGGUUAUAACAAUCCACAUGAAUUGUUCUUAAUUUUUUGAUGUGUGAUAACUAUAUAUAGCCUACGUUUUUUUAAUAAACCCAAAAAAUAUAAAAUUAAUUUAUGAAUUUUGAGCCUCACAUAUUUUGUUUUAUAGCAUACAUCCAAAUGAAUUGUUUCUUAACUUUACGAUGUUUGAUAACUAUAUAUAGUCUACUUCCACAUUGUUUUUUAAUUUUUUGAUAUUGAAUAACUAUACUACACUUCAUGCCUCAUAUUUGUUUUAUAGCCUAAAUCCAUAUAGAUUGUUUCUUUAUUUUUUGAUGUUAGAUUUUCAGUGUCGGAUACUUAUACUACACUUCAUGCCUCGUUUUUGUUUAUAACGUACAUCCAUAUGAAUUAUUUUUUAAUUUUUUCUUGCGGGAUAACUAUAUAUAGCCUAUAUUUUUUUUAAUAAACCCAAAAAACAUAAAAUUAAUUUAUGAAUACUUUGCCCCGCAUAUCUUUUUUUAUUGCCUAUAUCCACAUGAAUUUUUUUUAUUUUUUUUUAUUGUGGGAUAACUAUAUAUAGCCUACAUUUGUUUUUAAUAAAGCAAAAAAUAUAUAAAAUUAAGGGAUAGUUAUACUAUACUUCAUGCUUAUAUAUUUUUUUUAUAACCUACAUUUACAUGAAUUAUUUUUUAUUUUUUUUAUAUAGAAUAACCAUAUUAUAUUUUAUGUCUUUUAUUUUUUUUAAUUUAUAUUUACAUGUAUUGUUUUUUAAUAUUUUUAUAUAAAAUAUUAAAAUUUCAAAUAUAAAUUUUUUUGUUUUACCAUGUUGACAAGGGACGAAGUCCCCUUUCUCAGACCCGGAUCAACACCGAUGCCGAGUUUAAUAACUAUGCUAGGAACCAAGUCAAUAAUAUAUCGAAGAAGCUCCGACUUCAAAAGGAAGUCUCUAGACCCUGAACUAUGAAUUCCAACGAUACCUUCUUAACGACAUAGCUGUUAAUUUUAGCACCAACGUAAUCAAGUGCUCUAUCAUCUUAUUCUUUGUGGUCAAGAAGCUCCUUCUCGUGAGUAUCGUUGUGUCUAUCUCACUUAUUAUUUCUACAAAAAAACAAACAAACACAGAUUUGUGAAAGUAAAAUGAAAAGGUGGAUUUAGGAGUUUAGGGUUAGUGUUUGUUGCUGUUGGUUUUUUUAAAGGAAUCAGGGUUGUUGCGGGUUGAGAGGAAGGUGAUGAAGUCUGUGGGUUUGUGAUGGUAAUUUGAGAGAGUUAUUGGUUGUGACUGAAAUCCUAUUGAAGGUGGUUUGGUGGUAGCUAUAUGGUUAAGGUUUGUUGGUGGUGAUGAGGAACUGGUGGUCUCGGGUAGAGACUGAUUUGGUGGUUUGUAAGGGAGAACGAUGGGUUUUGGGCACGAAAGAGAUUGAAUGGGAGAGGGGUAAACAGGGGACCAUGUUUGUGGGUUGUUGGUCAAUGAUGGAUGGUUUUUGGAGUGGCUAGAAGAAAAGAGAGGGGUUGUAGUGGUUCGACUAGGACUGUGUGGUGGCUGAUUUUGGGUAUGGUUGAAAGGCUGCUAUGAUGAGUAGUUUCAUUUUUUAGAGUGAUUGAUGCUGAGGGUGAGGGCUGCUACUAGAAGAGAUGGAGGACAAGUUUUGGAUAUAGCAAGAGGGUUAUGAAGAUGACUUGAUGGCUAGUUGGUAAGGGACAUGAUAGGUAAUUGGGUCUAUUAUAAUGGUUAUAGCAGUGGGAAAGCGUUCUGUGUGGACGUGGUGGUCAAUGGUCGAACUUGUCAAGUGUUAGGCCACGUCGAUUAUGUGAGGAGCAUUAAGCCAAAUCCCACAUAUUUGGAUGAGCAGAGGACGUGCGGGACCAUUGCAUGAGCAUGCAUGCAUGCAACGUGGGAAAGGGAUGGACUGGGUCGUGGAGGUUAACGUGCAGAAGUGCAGCAAGAAAUGGUCUUCAAUCAUUGCGAGUUUUACGUCAUUUUAUUUCCGUUAUGAUUGUUCUGUUUUUCACUUUGUUAAUUCUCUGUUUUAUGUGGGUUGAGUCCAUUUGAUUACUGUUAAUUUUCCUUGUAAUUCGACUUAUUUGUUUGUUUGGAUGGGGCUUACUUAUUUAAGCAGCCAAUGCUUUCGUUAAAAUAUAAGAAAAAUUUGCAUUCAACUUGUGAUGCAUUUCUCACCCAAAGAGAAAAUAAACUUUAUUAGCACUUUACACUUUGCAUUUGGGACCUAUCAUUGGUAUCAAAGCCUGGUUGUCAAAGGGGAACUAACAAGGAGCGUAUUGAGCACUUGAAGUCUGAACUUAGUGUAGUUCAGGAAGGACUGCUGCAAAUGGAGGAAACACUCAAUCGACUUUCGACUAUGUUGAUCACAAAUCAAGAGACUCCUAACCACGGCAACCAUCAAGGCAACGAUGGGGGUCAGCAAAUCGUCUCUGCCAAAACAACGAAGCUAGAAUUCCCACGAUUUAUGGGGGAUGACCCAACCGAAUGGUUCAACCGUGUGCAUCAAUUUUUCGAAUACCAAGGCACGGCAGAAGCCCAGAAGGUUUCCAUGGCAGCAUACCAUUUAGAAGGGGAGGCUAACCAAUGGUGGCAAUGGAUUCGUAGGACAUUUAGGUACGAAGGACACGUGCUUUCAUGGGAGAAAUUCAAGGAAGAACUCUAGGCUCGCUUCGGACCCUCGGAGUGUGAGGACUUCGACAAAGCUCUUUCUCGUGUCAAACAGCUAGGAAAUUUGCAAGACUACCAGUGCGAGUUUGAAAAGCUCGGCAACAGGGUCCAAGGAUGGACUUAGAAGGCAUUGGUGAGAACAUUCAUAGGCGGGUUGAAGGCAGAAAUAGCGGAUGGUAUUCGAAUGUUUAAGCCAUAGUCACUCAAAGAGGCCAUUACCUUAGCACGGAUGAGGGACGACCAACUCGCACGACAAAGGAGGUUCAUGCAGCUACUAUCUGAACGAGCUCCGUUUGCUCUUCCAUAAACCACUCGUGAGCCUGCUACACUUGCGGGACCCAUCAAACGCUUGUUUUGGGAAGAAAUGCAGAGGAAAAGAGUAUAAGGCCUCUGUUUCAGCUGCAAUUAGCGUUUUACAACAGGCCAUAGAUGUCAAAAGCCGCAGCUGUUACUCUUAGAGGGUCAUACAUGUAACAUGAUGUGUGAGGACAUUAUGGAUCAACAGAUGCUAGAAGAUGGCCAUGAGGGAGAUACAUUAGUGGUGUAGGAACCUAAACUUGAACCGAAAAUAACCUUGCAUGCUUUAACGGGCUGGACAGCAUCGAAAACCAUACGUGUAUCGGUAAAAAUAGGGUCACACAAAGUAAUGGUUUUAAUUGACAGCGGAUCGACACACAACUUCAUCAGCAAUCGCUUAGCAAGUAUGCUCAGGUUGCCAGUCAUACCAACAAAAUCAUUCCAUAUCCGGGUGGCUAACAUGGAGGGAUUAACAUGUCAGGGGCGUUACGAUAAGGUAUGGGUAGAGUUACAAGGCACCGAAUUUUACCUCACCCUUUUCUCUUUGACCUUAACAGGUCUUGAUCUUGUCUUGGGCAUUCAAUGGUUUAAAAUGCUGGGAUCUAUGGUAUGUAACUGAAAACAGUUGGCCAUGGAUUUUAUUUGGGAAAAUCAAGACCGUAGGCUACAAGGAGUGGAUGUGCAAACCAUUCAGGCAGUUUCACCAACAGAAAUAGCGAAGGAGUUUAGUCGUGGACAUGCGCUCUUUGCUGUGUAUUUCCAAUCAACCAUGGAAACCGCACCACCUGAAUUACCAACUCAAGAUGAAAAAUAGAAUAUGCACUUGUUGUUGAAGGAAUAUGCAGACGUGUUCCAAGAGCCAUCAAGAUUACCACUUGCACGUGAGGUGGAUCAUUGUAUUACGUAAAAGAAGGAAGCCUAUUAAUGUACGCUCGUAUAAGUAUGCCCACUUCCAGAAAACUAAAAUCGAGAAAUAGGUCCAGGAAAUGCUAGACUCGGGACUCAUCCGUCCUAGCACCAGUCCAUUCUUGUCGCCGGUGCUACUGGUAAAGAAGAAAGAUGGCAGUUUGUGAUUUUGUACAGAUUACCGUUCACUCAAUGUCGUUACCGUCAAACAUCGUUUUCCCAUUCCAACAGUUGAUGAUAUGUUGGAAGAAUUAUAUGGUGCCGCUUACUUCACCAAAUUAGAUCCGAUGUUAUUAAAAUUGUUUUUCGUACUCAUAACAGCCAUUACGAAUAUCUCGUAAUGUCUUGUGGCUUGUGUAACGCACCCUCGACAUUCCAAGCCAUCAUGAACUCAAUAUUUUAACCUAACCUUUGAAAGUUUAUUUUGGUCUUUUUUUAUGAUAUUUUGGUCUAUAGUUCUACUUGAAAUGAGCAUCUAUUGCAUGUUAGACAAACAUUGGAAACUUUAUGACAACACCAAUUCUUUGCCAAGGCCAGCAAGUGCAUGUUUGGCCAAUAGGAACUGGAAUACUUGGGGCACAUUGACACACAUCAGAGAGUGAAGGUUGAUAACAAUAAAAUUGCAGCCAUGGUUAUAUGGCCACCCCUCACUAAUAUUUCUGAGUUAUAUGGUUUUUUAGGCCUAACAGGAUAUUACAGGAAAUUCAUUCAAAACUACAGCAUCAUAGCAAGACCCCUGAACAAUCUGCUUAAGAAGGGAAAAUUUGGUUGGAAUGAAGAAGCCAACACAGCCUUUCUAGCUCUCAAAUAAGCAAUGACAACUACGCCUACAUUUGCUACGCCUGAUUUCAAUGACUUUUUCACCAUUGAAACCGAUGCAUAUGGGGACAGAAUUGGCGCAGUUUUGUCACAACAAGGUAAGCCGAUAACGUUUAUGAGUUGAGCAUUGGGGGUUACAAAAAAAUCCUGGUCUACUUACGCCAAUGAGAUGUUGGCCAUUGUGGAGGCCAUACGUUUAUGGCGUCCUUAUCUCUUGGGAAAAAAAUUCUUCAUUCUUACUGACCAUUGUAGUUUGAAAUAUUUAUUGGAACAACGUGUGGCUAUGCCUGAACAACAGAAAUGGGUGAUCAAGCUUCUGGGCUACGAUUAUGAGAUUAUUUAUCGUCUAGGCCAUGAGAAUUCAACAACGGACGCUCUCUCACGCAGGUCUGGUAGUCCAGUUCUUCACCAUUUGCAUAUGCCAAUAGUGACCAUAUGGGAUGAAAUUCAAAAGGCUUAUGUGAGAGACUCUUACAUCCAAUCUCUAACUUGUUUGUCCAAGGAUCAACAAGCUGGACCGUAUGCAUGGCGUAAUGGGUUGCAGUUCUUUAAAGGAAGAGUAAUCAUUCCUUCUCAGGCAGCAUUAUGAUCACAAUUACUUCAUGAAAUGCACGAUACAAAAAUUAAAGGACACUCUAGGGUCUUCCGAACGUUCAAGAAAUUAGCUUAACAUUUUAUUGGCCUAAAAUGUACCAGGCGGUGCAAAAGUAUGUCAAAAAAUGUGAUAUUUGCCAGAGGGUGAAGUUUGAAACAUUGUCUCCAGCGAGGCUCCUGCAACCGUUACUAGUUCCAUGUCAAGUCUAGGACGACAUCACCUUAGACUUCAUUGAAGACCUACCGACAUCCCAAGGCAAAGACACAAUCUUAGAAGUUAUUGACCGUUUGAGUAAGUCUGCUCCUUUUCUAUCCUUAACUCAUCAUUUUACUGCUAAAGUCGUUGCAUAACGGUUUGUAGAAGGCAUCAUUAAAUUGCGUGGCUUACCCAAGUUUAUCGUCAGCGAUCGGAACCCCAUCUUUAUCAGCAAAUUCUGGCAAGAGUUUUUUCACAUGUCCGGCACCAAACUACAACUCAGUUCCACCUAUCAUCCGCAGACGGACGGACAAAUAGAAGUUGUUAAUCGCUGUGUUGAGCAAUACCUCCGGAGUAUUGGAGCAACUACCUUCUAUGGGCUGAGUUCUAGUACAAUAUAACUUAUCAUGCGUCCAUUGGGAUGACCCCUUUUUAAGCACUAUAUUGGACGCUUACCUCCUGCAUUUCCCAUUUACCAUAAUGGGUGUUCUUUCGUUCAGGAAGUAGACCACAGUCUAGAGGUUCGCGACAAGCUGUUGCGUCAACUCAAACGCAAUCUGGAGACUUUCAUUAAUCGCAUGAAGCAAAUUGCAAAUAAAAAAUGUCGGGAUGUUUCUUUCAAAAUUGGGGAUUUGGUGUUUCUGAAGCUGCACCCUUACAGGCAACAGUCCGCCUUCAAACGCGCCCACCAGAAGCUAGCUAAUCGCUUCUACGGCCCAUACCUAGUGAUACAAAAAAUUGGGUCCGUUGCAUACCUUCAUAUGUCGGACGGUGCCCACAUUCAUCCUGUCUUCCACGUCUCGCUCUUAAAAAAGUACGUUGGUGAGUCUGCAACACCUUCAAAAGAAUUGCCAUCCGUUACCGAUGAUGGGGUGGUUAUACUCGAACUUCAGCAUAUCCUGGACACUCGUUGGGUCAAACGAGACAAUAAAUUUAAAGAAGAAACUUUGGUACAAUGAAAGCAUCUACUAGUUGAGGAUGCCACAUGGGAGACCUAUUAGUCUUUACUUGAGCGAUUUCUUUUUGUGGACCUUGGGGACAAGCGUCCACUUAAUAGGGAGGGUAUUGUUAGGCCACGUCGAUCUAAGAUGAGCCUUAAGCCAAAUCCCAAAUAUUUGGGAUGAGCAGAGGACGUGCAGGACCAUUGCAUGAGCAUUCAUACAUGCAAUAUGGGAAAGGGAUGGACUUGGUCAUGGAGGUUAAUGUGCAGAAGUGUAGCAGGAAAUGGUCUUCCAUCGUUACGAGUUUUACGUCAUUUUAUUUCCGUUAUGAUUGUUCUAUUUUUCGCUUUAUUAAUUCUCUGUUUUAUGUGGGUUGAGUCCAUUUGGUUACUGUUAAUUUUCCUUGUAAUUCGAUUUGUUUGUUUGUUUGGACGAGACUUGCUUAUUUAAAAGCCAAUGCUUUUGUUAAAAUAAUAGAAAAAUUUACAUUCAAUUUGUGAUACAUUUCUCACCCGAAAAGAAAACAAACUUUAUUAGUACUUUACUCUUUGCGUUUCAGACCUAUCAUCAAGGGUGCUGUGUGGUGGUUUCCAUGGUUGGGGAAGAUAGUUCUAUGAAAUCGUGGGCUUACAAUGGGUGUAUUUAUUGAAAUGGUUUGUUACAAUCCCAGAAUGUCUGCAUUCUCGUUUCCCCCUUGUGUUUGUUGGAUAUCUCCCCUGUGAUUUGAGUUGAAGGAAGGAGACAAUUCCAAGAAACAAGGACACAAUGAGUUGUCGUGGGAAUGACAAUUUGGGGAGAAGGGACAAUGGAUGAAGAUUGAAUCUCUGUUGUUGUGGGAAUGACAAUUUUUUGUUUCUGUGAUUAUCAAAGGUUGAGGAAAUUCCCCCAUGUGAUUUUAGUUGAAAGAGAAGGAAGAUUUCCCCCCUAGUGUUGCUGUUGUGUUUUUAGACUUUGAAUUCCUCGCCUUCAAUAGGGAGAAAGGCUGGAAUCUGGUUGGGUUUUGAUCUUGAUUGCUAACAAUUUGGGAUUGAUUUGCAAAGAAUAAAUCAAGGUUGAUUGUUGUAAUCUUGGGAUUGAAUUGGCUGAGAAAAUCUUCCCCUUUUGGCAGUGAGAAAUCUGCCUUCUCAAUGAGAAAAAUGACUGAAGUGAAUUAUGGUCUGUAGUUAAGAAAACUGUACAUCUGGGUUUAAUUGUUGGAAUUGAUUUCUGGCUUUAAUUGCUGGGUAAUCAACUGUAAUUUAGGGCUAAAUGUCUAGAUUCUUAGACUGAAAAAAUGAACAUUGUAGUAUGAAAAUUCAGUUAGACCCUGAAAUGUUUAUACCUUUUUAUUGUAGUCCCUAG